UUUCUGACUGCUUUGAUAAUGGAUUCCACGUACAAAACCAACUUGUAUAGGAUGUCAUUGUUUGAAAUAGUUGGAGUCACCUUAACCUAUUCGAAAUAUUCGAUUGAUUUUGCAUUUAUGACGUCGGAGAAAGAGGAUAACUUUACUUGGGCUUUGCAAAUGUUACUUAAACUUCUUGAACCAAAUAGUGAUAUGCCUAAGGUGGUAGUGACCAACAGGGACACAGGUAUGAUGAAUGCCGUAGAAAAUGUUCUCUCCGAUAGUAGUGCAAUACUUUGUUAUUUCCAGUGUUGGCAAAAAUGUUAGAUCAAGAAUCAUCACCGAUUGCAAAGUUAAACAAAAUGUUGUGGUAGUGGAUGGACAAAAGAAGAUUGUCGACGAGGAGAAGCAUAGUAAGUUAGCUGAUACCAUAUUUGAUGCUUGUAAAAAUUGGUAGAAGCUCCUACUCAAGAGUUAUAUGCGGGUAAUCUAUUGGAAUUCCAAGAUGCUUGUAAAGAUUAUCCAAAGUUUCUUCACUAUGUUGAAACUACCAUUUUUAAGCCUUUUAAGGACAAAUUAGUGUGGGCAUGGACGGACCUUGUGUUACAUCUUGGGUACAGGACCACGAACAGAGUUGAAGGAGCUCAUGGUGUGGUGAAGGAAUAUUUGUCUACCACCAAGGGUGAUUUGGGUACUUGUUGGGAAAAAAUAGAUGAGAUGUUGGCAAACCAAUUUGGGGAGAUACAAUGAUUGUAACACCCCGUUUUCCCAACAUAAAAAUUUCAUAAAAAUAAUCAGAGUAAUUCACAUAAACGGAAUGUCACACUUCUUUCUUAAAAACAUAAACGGAAUAAUUAACUAAUUAUCCUUCAAAAUUCAAUUGACAUAAUAUUCAAUACUUCACAGCGGAAUUUAAUUCAAUCAACUAAAAAUAGUCUUUGGCACGAAGGCCUCAUCAUAAAAAUCUCAUAAAAUCAAUUCAACAACUUAUUUAUGAAAAUUCAUAAAGUAAUACGUAAGGAAUAGAAAAUAGCAACAAAAUCUCAUCCCGUUACGUAUCAGAGCACCUAAAGACACACGUGAGAGAUAAUCCACCCACGACAGCAAUCUAACAGCAACUUAUUCUCGGUCACCUGCAGGUUAUCCAUACGAAGGACAACAUUUUCAAGCAGAAGGGGUGAGAUUUCACAUUCAAUAAUAAUAAGCAUAUAAUUCAUCAAAAGCAUUUAACAACUUAAACUUCAUCUAUUAGUAAUAAUAAUUCCACAUGUAAUACUUAUUUAACAAGUCAAACAACAUCAUGUAAUCAUCAUAACAACAGUCAUAAUCAACGUCAUGUAACAUCAUAACAACAUCAUAAUUAAUAUCAUAAUCAACAUCAUAACAUCAUCAUAAUCAACAUCAUAUAGCAUCAUAACAUCAUAAUCUACAUCAUAUAGCAUCAUAAUAACAUCAUAAACAACAUCAUAACAUCAUAAUCAAUAUCAUAAACAACAUCAUAAACAACAUAACAACAUCAUAAUCAAUAUCAUAAACAUCAUAUAAUCCUCAUAAGCACUUCAUUAACAACACGUGGAUAGAAGACAACUCAACAACUUAACAACUCAUGGACGACAACUCAUCAACAACGACUUUGACUCGACAAUGCAACUUCGACUUCUUAAUCAUGCAUGUGGUACCAAUCCAGGGCAUCAAGUCCCUAACAUAUUGAGCAUAAAUACACUCCCAGGGCAUCAAGUCCUCAACUUAAAGAGAAAAAGCUCACAGGACAUCAAGCCCUCAACGUAUUGAGCAUAAAUACACUCCCAGGGCAUCAAGCCCUCAACUUAAAGAGUAAAAGCUCACAGGGCAUCAAGCCCUCAACGUAAAUGAGUAUGCAUGGACUCAACAACUAAUGCAACGACUGUAACACCCCAUUUCCCAAAAUCAAUUAAAUAAUAAUAAUUCAACAUCAGAGUAAAACCCAAACGGGCAUGUCACAUCACAUUUUCAAAAUCUUCUUAAAUAGAACAUAAAAAUCUAUUUAAUUAAACAUCCUUCAAAAUUAUCAUUAAAUCUGCAGCGAAAUAUUCUCAUCAAAACCACAACAAUAACUGUUUUAAACUCCAUAAUAAAUUAUUGGCACAAAAGCCUUAACAAUAUAAAAUCCAAUAACAAAAGGCUACAUCAGCAACAAUCCAAAUAUGAUACAUAAGGAAUGAAACAUAAUAAGUAAACUCAUCCCAAAUGUAUCAGAGCCCUAGACACUUGAGUCACCACCAACUAAUCAGGAUCACCUGCAAGUUACCCAUAGGAAGAGCAACAUUUUCAAACAGAAGGGGUGAGAUUCACAACAAUAAUAUAAAUAAUGAAUGCAUCAAUUGAAUCUAACACCCUAUCAACAUAAUUCAUCAACAUAUAUAAAUAUUAUCAAUAUCAAUGUCAUCAACAAAUGAUAAUUAAAAACCAACACUACUACUCAUGCAACUCACCACCACUCCACUAAGACUUCUCUAACAACACCCAUGCAUGUGGUACCAAAAUCAAGGCCGAAGCCCUAACCGCUGUAGAAUGAUUAAGGCAUUCAUUUUCCAGGACAUAAGUCCUCACCGCUAAACACCGCUUUGAGCAACUAGUGCUCCACCACUUUGAACGACAAGGCGUUCCAGAGCCGAAGCUCUCCCACUUUUAUGCUUAUGCAAAUGACCCACUUGUGUAUAUCUACAUACAACUCAACCUACGCAUAUAUAUGUAAAUGACUCACCACUCCAAAAUACAACAUUCAUGUAUGACUUAAUUAAAUGAAAUCAUACAUUCCAGCCAGCAUCAAUUCAUUAUAACCAAUUUAGAACAUCCAAGAAAAAUACACCAUUAUAAUAGCCAUGCUUAAACAUCAAGAUAAAUCAACCAUCAACAAACAGAACCAACAAUUCAAAGUCUGGGCAACUCGCCUCGCGAGUACUCCUACUCGCUAUGGCGAACUCAAGGAAAGGGGUACUCGCCAUGGCGAGUUCGAGGCGAACUCGAGGCGAACGAAAAUAUGGUGCUCUCGGGAGUUUUGACAUUUUUCGCACUAAAUCAUCAAUUCUAAGCUCCCUAUUCAUCUUUUUAAUCUAAAACUUGCUCCAGUCCUCUCUAAAAUCAUCUAGGUACUUAAAACUAUCCAUUUUACAACUUAUAACAACAUUUCAAAAUCAUGAUCUCUCAGGUGCUUACUCGCCGUGGCGAAUGGUUCUGCUCGCGAGGCGAGCCAUGAAGAUUGCUCACUCGCGAGGCGGGAAGGUCUACUCGCCUAGGCGAGCGAUGAGUAUCAGACGACUAGAACCCAGAUUUUUUUUCCCAAAAUCCCAAUUUUCUCAAUUUCACUCCCCAAAUCAGUUUACAGAUAUGCAAUGAAAGGUUGUACGCACUCAGAACCCAUUUCUAACAUCAUUGUAACAAUCCCUACUCUCAAAAACCAUUAAUUAACAAAAACCUAAUUUUUCCCAACUCUUUCAUAAACCUGUUAAAAUCAAAAUCAGAAUUCAGAAUCUAUACAAUUGCGGUAAACCUCACCCUUACCUUAGAAUUUCAGAAAGGAAUGCACAACAAUUGACAAACUUGGCUCUCCUUGCUCUUCUCUCAUUUUUUCCCAAAACUGACAGUUUUUCACGUAAAACGUAUUCUGACUCUUUCUUUCUUUCUUAACUCUUUUCUUAACUUCUCUUUAUUUUAUUUACUCCCCCUUAAUUCUAAUAAAUUCUAACAUAACCCCCAAAACUCCAAUUUAAUACUAAUUCUCACUUGUUCUAAUUAUUAUUAAAAUAACCUAUAUAAUAAAAUAUAACACACCAUAAAAUCCACAAAUAUUAUUUAAAAUCAUAAAAAGACUCCACAUAAAUUCAAAAUAAUUAAAAUAACGACUAGGGCGUUACAACUCUCCCCAAAUUACAGAAUUUCGUCCUCGAAAUCUUACCUCAAACAAACAACUCUGGAUAAGAAUCCCGCAUCUUACUCUCCAGCUCCCAAGUCAAACUUUCACCAGUCGCUCCGUCCCAAACGACUCUCACAAGGGGUAUUUCCUUGCCCCUCAAUGCCUUCACUUUCCGAUCAUCAAUCCUCACCGGUAAGGUCUCUACCGUAAGGUUGUCUCUAACUUGCACAUCAUCUCUCGGAAUAACAUGCGAAAGAUCCGCUACAUACUUCCGAAGCUGCGACACAUGAAACACAUCAUGCAAGUUCGAAAGAUGUGGUGGAAAACCAACUCUAUAGGCCACUGUUCCAACCCUCUCUGAAAUCUGAUAUGGACCGAUGAACUUUGGAGUCAACUUUCUCGACUUCAAUGCAUGUCCCACACCCGUCAUAGGAGUAACCCUCAGAAAGACAUGAUCACCCUCCUGAAACUCAAGGGCCUUUCUCCGCUUGUCAUGGUAACUCUUCUGUCGACUCUGCAUAGUAAACAAUAUAUUCAUGUGAUCUUGAAAGUUAUUACCUGGAAAAAUAUUUUGUGAUGGAACAGUAGAUAUUUGAUUAUUGCAAAUAUUUUUCAAGAUGACUUCCUUGUCUAGAAAAAAAUAUUAAACUACAAACCAUAUACAAAUAUUGUAAAAUAGUACACCCGUUAUAUGAAAUGGAUAUUCUUGAUGUUACUUGGACAACUUUCUUGUGAUGGAACAAUAUAUGUGUUGAAAACAAUUAUGUGCUAAGUUCAUUUUAAAGUGGGUGAACAAAAUCACAAUGACAUUGUGAUACCAGAGAAACACAUAAUAUACAAAUAAAAAAAGAGUGGUUUAAUGAUGGACAUCUUUAAUUAUCUGUUAUAACAAGUUAACAUAAUUUUUCUUUUUAACAUAUACACAUUUAUACAAUAAACUUUAAAGUAAAAAACUAUGUGAACAAUUUAGAGAUCCACCGUUAGAACUAUUUUUUCUCAUGUAUAUACACACGAAAAUCAAGCAUCACAAUAUAAAAUAGUAAAAAAUAUGAGUAGCUAUUGAUCUUUGAAGUUACCUAUUUUUCUAACAACCUGAGCAUUAUCUUCGAUCUUAUCGUCACUAAUUAGCAUAUAAUUCAUCAAAUCUUUAACUUUGUUGCUAGUCAAUCCAAUAACAUCAUUAAUAUUGAUAUCUUUUAUCGGAGGAAUAAAAUUUUGGAUUAAAUGAAUUCACAAUUUUAUAUGCAAUAUAAUCAUAUUAAAAUAAGAAUAUAAAUUGAAAUAAAACUUACCGUAUAGUUGAUGCCUCACAUUGAUGCGGAUCCGUGAGAUCAUAUUGCGAAAAAUCUAUCCACAAGGAAUAGCACGAAAAAUGACUAUUUCCCCUUAAAAAGUUCUGCCAUCAAUAAAAUAUCAUCAAAAUUAUUUCUUUCAUAAAUACUCUAUCGAAAAGCAAUAGAUCCAUUAACCACAAGUUCAUUCAAGCCAAGAAAAUGAUUUUAUUCAUACUUCAUUAAAACUUAAACAUUUUACAAGAAAUCAUUUUCGUUUAAAAUCAAAUUUUUCUUUGAGAUCUAACGUCAUGAGCCAUGGAUCUAUAAUUCUAACCAAUAAAAUUGAAAAAAAUCACCAUAUAUAAAGGUUGUAGGCCUAAUGUCCAUUACCAAAAAAAAACCUAGGAACUUUUUUUUUUGCUUGCAUUAAUAAUUUAUGCUCAUGAAACAUAAUAUCAUAGUGAUCCAAAAUUCAAGACAAAAUAAAAUCUUUCAUGAAUAAAAUCAUCAUCAAGUUAUAAAAAAUUGUAAUUUUCCAAAGUUGUCAUAAGUAAAACUUUUCCUGGGAUUCAUCCACUAGAGUGAUGAAUCUAUCAAUUUAGAAGGAUUUUUUUUUUUUUUUUAAAGUCUUGAUUCCCUCUAUCAAUUUAGAGGGAAAAUAAAAAUUUCUCUCAUCAACAUUUACAUGGUAAUGGAGAGAAGAAGAAAUCAAGGAGGGUUUAUUCACAAACCAUUGAAUGAUUUAGCUCUUAAAUUUGUUUUUAACUUGGUCAUUGACGUCUACAAGAAUUUCUUGUUAACCAAAUGAUAGUUUUUUUUUUUUUUUUAAUAAAAGAAAAGAUAUAUUAACUCAAGAGAUCUUUAAAGUAUACAUCAGAUAUUUGUGUUGGCACCUCCUCUAUCCAUAUGCUGGCAACUUGGGCCAUACUAUGGGCCGUAACAUUACACUCUCUAGGGAUAAAAUUGAAUUGACACUUGUCAAAACUAAAUUGGAGCCUUUGGAUUUCUUUUAUAAUACUACCAAGAUAAGAUCUAUCUUCAAUCUUAUUGUCCUUCCGAAGCCAAAAAACCUUUUCGUUAUCUCCUUCAAAUAUCAUUUGUCUGAAUCCACAGUCUAUGGCUAAACGAACUGUAGAUAACAGACUAAAAGCUUCAGCUAAAACCACCUCCUCUGUGCCCUUGACUUUCCAUGCUGCCGAAGCCAUCACAAGACCAUUUCCAUUCCGAAUAAUGGACCACAGGCCCCACCAUCCUUUAACAUGGAGAUUUGCAUCACAAUUCGCUUUCAGGAAAUCCUCUUCUGGUUUUUUCCAUUUGGAUCGAUUGGGAGGUUUAUUAGGGCGCGCAUUGUGAGAGCGAAGUUGAUUUUCAGAGGCGGAUCGAGAGCUGGCUUGCAUGAACUCAGAGAUGCUUCUUUCGGCGCGUUGAACAAUAUCAAUUUCAGAUAUGAAUCUUUCUUCAAAAAUGGAUUGAUUUCGAGCGAACCAAAUGUUAUAGAUUAAAGCAGCAGUUUGAAUUAUGGUUUCUUCCUUCUGCCGUAGAAUAGAUUGAGUUAGCCAAUCUACAAAAUUAGUGGUAGGCUGAUUGUUGAUUCUGAGGUUAAGUUGAGCUCCGAACGAAGUUCUAGUGAUGUAGGGACAAGUCAUAAAGACAUGGUUUAUGUUUUCUACCUUAGCAUUGUAUCUGGGACAUAAAUGUAACACCCCGUUUUCCCAACUUAAAAAAAAAAUUCAAACAUAUAGGUAGGUAGAAGACUCACCCACGAGUCAUCAGCUUAGCAACUCGGAAAGUAUCGGUUUAGGAACUCUCUCCUAAACACAGCCCAAAUAACCACAUCACCGUCUUGCUCUAAGGUAGGUAGAAGACUCACCCACGAGUCAUCAGCUUCUUCAGCUAGCAUGUGCGUACCAAAACGCACCUUCUGAACCUUUGAACACUGCAUCACACGAAACACUCUUUCUAUCUCUUUGAGCUAAGUCUGAGCUCCAUCAGGGUCAUAUCUUCCCUUGAAAUUAGGAGGAUGAUUCCUCACAAAACUCUCCAACAUCCUCGCUUCAGCACUUGCUCCAGCAUUCGCAUUAGGCUGUUGUCCCACAGCUUGAGCCACAACAUGUAGUGCAGCAGCUAACGUAGCGUCGUUUCUUCCAGCCAUCUCUUAGUUUUCUACACAACAAGCAACAACAACAUAGGACAGUAUUACAACUGCUACUAAACUCGACCCGACUCAACUACUUGGCCGGACGGACCAACCUGCUCUGAUACCAAUUGUAACACCCCGUUUUCCCAACUUAAAAAAAAAAAAAUCAAACAUAAAAUCAGAGUAUUCCUCAUAUAAACGGAAUGCUACACUUCAAAAAUUAUAAAUAAGAUAAUUAACUAAUUAUCCUUCAACAUAAAUCAAAUUCCAAAACAUAGCAGCAGAUAAGUUCAUCAUCAUAAAUAAAGUCUUGGCACGCAGGCGUCAUCAAAAUAUCCCAUAAAUUCAGUCAAACAACUUAAUCAUAAAUCAAAUACGUAAAGGAACAAGAAAUAGCCACAAAAGAUCACAUCCCGUUACGUAGCAGAGCACCUAAAAGGACACAGUGAGGGAUAACCACUCACGACAGCAACUCCAGCUACUUAAACUUGAUCACCUUCAAGUUACUCAUACGAAGAGCAACAUUUCCAAGCAGAAGGGGUGAGAUUUCACAUAACAAUAAUAUUAAGCAUAUAAUUCAACAAUUAUAUUUAACAACAUGAAAACAUCAUAGAUAAUAAUGUAUCAUUUAUCACUUCAUUCAUAGUUCAUAUAAACAAUCACAACUUCACAACUUAUCAUCUUUGACUCGACAAAUGCGACUAUGCAACUUAGACCUCUUAUAUGCAUGUGGUACCAAUCCAGGGCAUCAAGCCCUCAACGUAAUAAGUAUUAAUAUACUUCCAGGGCAUCAAGCCCCAACAUAAUUGAGCUAAAGCUCCAGGGCAUCAAGCCCCCAACGUGGUGAGCAAGGGCUCCAGGGCAUCAAGCCCCCAACAAUGAAUGUUAAUGCAUGGACACAACAUCUUAACAACUUAGAACAUCAUCAUCUUAUAAGUCCAAUAAUUUGGAACAUCAUCAUCAUCAACUUAGACCGACUCAUGCAACUUAGUUAAAAAACAAACAACAACAUAGGCAGUAUGCAAAUCAUCAUGAUAUAACAAUAUCGAAUGCAAAUCAACAACUUAAAUAUCAAACAUAAGUCAUGUAAUGUAUAUACAAUUAUAUAUCAUUAUAAACAACAUGGAUUCAUAUGCAUCAGUCUUACUGGACAACAACAUCAAGAUAAAUAACUUAGUUUCUAACCUCUAAGAUCAAUUUACAUCAACUUGUGCGACAAGAAUCGCAUUUAACCUAAAUAAGGCAUUCUGUAACUAGUUAGCUCGCGAGGCGAUAGCCUCUACUCGCCAUGGCGAGUUCAGGUUCAGUUCACAAAAAUUCAUUCUAAAGUCUCUCCAGGUUCAAUCUCAUUCUCCGAUCUUUCCUAAUCAUUAUUAGACAUGUUCAGGCACUCAAAAACAUCUAUGGAUCAACUCAAAAGUCAAAAUUUCGAAAUUUGGGUAGCUCUCUGGUCAUGCUUGCUAUGGCGAGUUCAACUGUUCGCUAUGGCGAGUUGCGAGGUGCAACUCGCGAGGCAAGGGAAAAUUGCUCGCGAGGCGAGCGAUGAACUUCAUCACUCGUGAGGCGAGGAUCAUCGUUUGCAAGGGCGAGCGAUGAAUGUUGGCUCGGGCAGAAGUGUAGUUUUCACGAAAAUUCACUAUUUCUCACGGUUUAAAGCCUAACAUUGAUUCCAGAAUUCAUCCUACACAUUAUCUAAGGUCUAGGAACAGUUUCUACAUCAAUCUAACAAGUUUCCACCGUUUAAUCAAUAAUUCUACAAUUUUGACCUAGUUUUCAAAUCCUCUAAAACUCAUCCUACAUCAUGUUAAACCUAAUCAUUGAAUCACAGACUUAAUAGAAUUGCAAAGUUAGUCUCACCCUUACCUUAACAGUGAAAAUCGCAGCACUCUAGGUCUUUCUCCCUUCUCUUGGCUUUUUCUCCCUUUUCUCCAAAAACUGAUCGUACGUUAUGUUUUUCUAACUAGGUUUAUCCUAUUUAUAUCUCCUCCAUCUAUCUUAUCUUAUUUCUCUUUCUCCCCCAAAACUCUCUAAAAUCUCAAAACAACCCCUAAACUCAAUAAUUAUUUUAUUUUCAAAUCUUAUUUUAUUAAACAAUAAAAUAAGUCACAACUCCUCAUAAAAUCACAUAAAUCACCUCAAUCAUAUAAACCUCUUAAAUCACACAUAUAUCAUAUAAAUAUAAUAUAAACUCAUUAUAAUAAACUCUAGACUCAAUUAAAUAAUUCAAAGAGGGCGUUACAACUCUCCCCAACUUAUAAGAUUUUCGUCCUAGAAAAUUAACCUCAAUCAAACAACUCUGGAUAAGAUUCCAGCAUCUUACUCUCUAGCUCCCACGUUAAGCUUUCACCAGUCGUUCCGUCCCAAACGACUCUCACAAGAGGUAUAUCCUUGCCUCUCAACGUCUUCACUUUUCGAUCAUCAAUCCUUACCGGUAAAGUCUCAACCGUAAGGUUAUCUCUAACUUGCACAUCAUCACUUUGGAUCACAUGGGAUGGAUCCGGAACAUACUUCCGAAGUUGCGACACAUGAAACACAUCGUGCAAAUUCGAAAGGUGCGGUGGUAAACCCACUCGGUACGCCACCGUUCCAACUCUUUCUGAUAUCUUAUACGGAACAAUAAAUUUCGGAGUCAACUUCUUUGACUUCAACGCUCGUCCAACACCAGUCACAGGAGUGACUCUCAAAAAUACGUGGUCUCCUUCUUGAAACUCAAGAUCUUUUCUACGCUUAUCAUGGUAACUCUUUUGUCGACUCUGCGACGCUUUCAUCUUUUCUUGAAUCAUCUUAACUUUCUCAGUAGUUUGUUGAACGAUCUCUGGUCCUAAGACCACUCUUUCGCUUGACUCAAACCAACACAACGGAGUUCUGCAUCUCCGACCAUACAAAGCCUCAUAAGGUGCCAUUCCAAUACUAGAAUGAUAACUAUUAUUAUACGUGAACUCUAUCAAUGGAAGAUGACUAUCCCAAGUUCCACCUUGCUCAAGUACAUAAACUCUCAACAAAUCCUCCAACGACUGAAUCGUCCUCUCCAACUGACCAUCUGUCUGCAAACUUUUCCAAAAUCUAGAAGUAAAUCUUGGAUUUCUAUCUGAUACAAUGCUCGAAGGAACACCAUGCCAAUUCACAAUAUCACGAAUAUAAAUCUCUGCCAACUGAGAAACAGGAAAACUGAUAUUAAUCGGAAGAAAAUGAGCCGACUUCGUCAAUCUAUCAACAAUCACCCAAAUCGCGUAAUUCCCUUUAGGAGUAUUCGGAAAACUCGUCACAAAAUCCAUGUAUAUACUAUCCCAUUUCCACUCUGGCACAUCUAAAGACACCAUCAUACCAGCAGGUUUCUGAUGCUCAACUUUCGACUUCUGACAAAUCAAAUAAGAAUACACAAACUGUGCAACAUCACGUUUCAGUCCAACCACCAAAACAACUUCUUUAGAUCAUGAUACAUCUUCGUAGCUCCCGAAUGAAUACUCAAGUUACUUCUAUGACUCUCUUCAAGAAUCAUUUUCUUCAUCUCAUCAUCGUCUGGAAUACAAAUCCUACCUCAAAACCUCAACAUACCUUGAUCAUCGAUUUUAAAAUCACUGUCUUCAGUCCGAUUACUAGCCACCAACAAGUCCACAAACUUAACAUCAACUUGAAGGUGAGAAAAACACAAGAAGGGGGGGUUGAAUUGUGUUUUCUUUCUCUAAAAAAAAUCUUCUUCUGAUGUCAUUUCAGAAGCUUUUUAAGAGUGCUUUUGAUGAGAUAAUACUUCAGAUGCAAUUAAAUUGCUUCUGAUGUAUUGUUCAGAAUUGGAUACGCAGCGGAGUAAAAAUAGAGUAGAGAAAAGAAAGAGAGACACAAGCAAUUAUACUGGUUCCUUCCACAAACCGGAAGUAGUCCAUUCCCCCUUGCACUUCCAAGGAGAUUUCCACUAACAAAUAAUCACACAGAUUACAACUGCUCAAUACUACACCUAGUAUGAGACUUCAAAAAUGCUCAAGCACGCAGGCAAGAGACUUCCUUUGCUCAAGCACUAAAGCAAGAGACUUCUAUUCAAACAGAAUUACACAGAAAAUUGUUUGAGUUUGAACACUUGAUAUACAAUCAGUGGUGUUCACAAUACAAUGCAAUUGAAAGACUCUAUAGACUUAAGAAUUUCUAAGAUAUAUCAAAUGAACACAGAAAUUCAAAGUUCUUUGUGUGAAACAAAUUUGGUAGAGUUUGGGCGCUUUUAACUUGUUGUAUUGUCUCUGCUGAUCUUCAAGUCUUUACUCCUUUAUAUAGAGGUGUGUAGAGAGACGUUGAGAUCUUUAAGCACGUCAAAAGAGUCGUUGAGAAACCUUGAUCAAUACCAAUGAUCUUUUGCCUGAUUUGGAUGUUGUCCUAUGAAGGAUCACGUUCAAAUCCAUUCCUAUCUUGAAGGAACAUUUCUGCAGGCAGAGCUGUUAUCUUGUUUUGUAGCAUAGACACAAGCAGAGUCGUGGAGGUAGUGGUUGUACCCUUGCACUUUGUCAACUCUCAAUGAAGGACAAGCACCCAAUGUUUUUCAAACGAACGUUGGCACCUUCCCUUUAGUCUUUCGCUUUCUUAGACGAGGUUGAAUCCCAUAGACUGUAGCACCCUAUUUCUAUUAAAGCAAUAAAACAUGUGAAUAAUACAUUUAUUCAAGAAAUAGAGGCUACGCCACAUUCAAAAUUCAAAAACCAAUAAACAAGUAUAUAAACUUCAACAGUCGCAGCGUAAUAUAAAAUAGAGUAAUCAACAUAUACAUGUCAUGAAUAAAUAAUUACAUCGACAUAGAUGCAUCUCAAAAAUCCCAACAUACGGGUAAUCUCCAAACAUAACAAAAGAUAAUUUAGACCGACACAACGAAGCCUAGAUCAGAGUCGACUAACUCUAAACACCGAUAUCGGAGAAAGCUCCCGAUAUCCACCAAGCACAAGAACUCACCAAGCAACUAAACCUGCACAACGUCUACCCAUCCAUACAGAUAGGCAGGCGGUCCAUCACAGAUCUACUGGGGGUAAGUAUUACAUCAUCAUAAUCCAAAUAACAGUUAACAUGAAUAUUUCAAUAUAAACAUCAUGCACUUGAUCAAUAAUAAUAUUAUCAUAUCAAUACUUACAUCAAACCCCAAUAUCUCACAUUAAUAAUCAUCAAUCACAUGUAUCAUGAACGAAUAUCAAUUCACAGUUAUUCAUACACAAUCACCAAUCACAUAUAUCGUGAACAAAUAUCAAUUAUAUUCCAUGAACAUUCAUUAAUCACAUUUCAUGAACAAUCACCAAUCACAUUUCAUGAACAAUCACCAAUCAUAAGUCAUGAACAAUCACCAAUCACAUUUCAUCAAGUCACAUAUUCAAUUAUGACAUACUUCAUCAACCAAUCAAAUGCAUGCAAUGUUCUAGACUCUUCUAGAUGCAUGCGGUACCGGUCUCACCAAUAUUUAGGCCGUCACCCAUGAUGCCGACAGAACAUCAUAAUCUCACCAUUUGGAUAUAUAAAAAUAUCCGUCUCCAUCAGUCAUGUAUGCAUGAACAUAUAUCUUAACAACAAUACAUAUGUUCAUACAAACAACUCACCAUAUUCUCACCAAUAUUACUUGCAUUUAUGCAAUCACACCAAUAAUCCAUUACCAAUAUUUAUUUGCAUUUAUGCAAUCACACCAAUAAUUCAUUACCAAUAUUUAUUUGCAUUUAUGCAAUCACACCAAUAAUUCAUCACCACUUAUAUAAUCAUACACCAUGUCAUAAUAAACAUACACAUGGAUUCACCAAUGUCAUCACCUUCUCAUAAUUUCAUAUCAAUUACAUGAUUUACAAUAAUCAACAAACAUCAAUUAUCACAUGUGGUUUCACCAAAUCAAGCACUCUCAUAUUCCAAGUAAGAGGGAAAACAACAUCUCAUGAUAAAUAUCAUAUUCAACAUCUACGAUUCAUCAUACAUCAACAUGAUUAUCAAUAAUCAACAAUGUCAUUCAACAUCAUAUAUAUAUUCACCCACCAUAUCAUAAUAAGGAAUGUAUAUGGAUUCACCAAAAUCAUCACCUUAAGAUAAACAUCACAUUCAAACAAUCAUUCAACUUCGCUUAGUCAUAUAAGAAUAGUCACCAUAGCUCACAAGACAAUUGGCUAAAGAAACAUUUCCGACAAAAAUCCAAAUCAUGUGGCAAACGGCCAACAUUGAUAAUUUUCAAAGCUAGGCAACUUAUUCAAGUUUGAAAUCCUACAAUUCAAUCUUAAUCAAUCAUGUAGUCAAGGACUUAAGCCACUCGCAAACUAUGAGAAAUUAGUUCAAAGGAUAGCUUAAGUUCGUAUGAGAAAUUCCAAGACAAAACAACAUUUAGCUCAAAACCCGUUUUAACCGAUUCAACUCCGCCCAAAAUAUUUCUUAAACCCUUAACACAUUCACAUUCCCAAAUACAUAAAUGCAUACUCAAUUAUUCACUCUAAGUACUUCAUUAAACCCAAUAUCAAGUUUGGAAAAGUCUCACGGCUCAUAGAAAAAGUUAUGAUAAGUUUUCACAAAAAUCCACAUGUCCCAUGUGUAAUAAAUUAGUCAUAACUCAAGUCAUAAAAAUUGUUUGAAUGCCAAAUCAAAGCCAUUAGAACAAUAACAUAAUUAUCUAAAACUUUCAUGUUUACACCAAAGUCAAAAUCAAAACAGAAAUAUGCGAAAACGAUGCAAGAGCGCGAAACAGGGGAAGCUGUCACUGGGAUGCUCGCCUCGCGAGUAGGGUUACUCGCCAUGGCGAGAAAUUCCAGUGGCUACUCGCCACCAACUCGCCUCCAGCUCUCCUCGCGAGUGAUGACAGUUUGUAGAAAAUUCUGUUUUCGUGAAAAAUCCAUUUUCACCCCAAAAUCCCAAUUUUUGACCUCCCAAUACCCAAAUUGAUUCCAAAGGUUUACCCAAAUGUUUUUAGACAUGAAAAGAUACUCAAAUCCAUAUACAAACUUGAAUCAAACAUCAUUUCAAACAAAAUCACCAUUUGACCCAUUUUUUCAUCAUCAAUCCAUAAUUAUGUAUACCCAAGUCAUAAUUCACCCACAACAACAUGUCUCAGCAACAACAACAUCAAUUAAAACUUGAUUCUCACCUCAAUUCAACAACAACAUGUCACAAUUCAUCAAUUAAGCAUAAUUUCAUAACAACUCAUUUUCAUACAUUAUGAACAUGUUAUUUCAUCACCAACAAUUCAUUUAUCAUUCAAUUAACAUACUCAAACUUAUCACCAAAACAAGAGCACGGAUUUAACAACAAUUAUCAAUUCAUUCCAAUCAACCCAUUUCAUACAACAAGGAAAAUUGCAAACAAAACAAUCAUGAUUAUGAAGAACACUAACCCCCUUACCUUAGGUUAUGAUCAAUUCAAACUUGAGCUUCACUUUAGCUCAUAAUUCCUCAAUCUUCAAGUUUCCCCCUUUGCUAACCCUUGUUCUUCCUUUCACUCACUUCUCUCUCUACAUCUCUCUAACUUAGUGAAAUGAAAAGGAAUGAAUGAAUUUGCUCUCACAACCCUAAUGUUAUUUCCCCCUAGUGGGCUUAACUUAGUUUUAGUGGGCUUAACCCGUUUCUAUUCAAACCACAAUUCUAAAAAGUUUCUAUACACUCAACGGUAAUUACUAACAACGGUAAAUUAUAACCAACGGUCACUAAACGGUAAAAACUAAUCACUACACUAGUAACUUAGUAAAAUAAGGGUUCUCACUAAAUAUUAAAAAUAAUUCUCACCAAAAUUACCAUUUUACCCUUACCCGCCAAAUGACCAAAAUACCCUUCUAAUACGGUAAUCCAUGUAAAUGCACCCAAUGACAAUUAAAUACACACAAGCACAAAUAAUCACACACAAACACAUAAUAAAAGUAAUUGAAAUAAAUCUAGCUAAAAAUCGGGCUGUUACAUAGACAACUCUUAAAGACUUCAGAUUGAAUCUUCUGAUCAACUUGCAGUUUCUGGUGUUAUACAGCUUCUGAACAAUUGGCUUCUGAAGGUCUUGCUUCUGAAGGAUUUGCUUCUGAUGACGUCAUCAGAUGCAUUUUGGCUUCAGACGCACUUUCAACUUCAGAGGCAGAUUUCUUCAGAUGCUUCUAGGUUUCUCUUCUUGUUGAUUCCUUAUUAAAUUGAUCAACUUUGUCUAUGGUCCUGUACACUUGAACAAAUAUUAGCAAUAUCCAAUUGAAAAUUUUUAAUACCUUGUUAUCAUCAAAACUCAUUAAGGUUUAUUGUAAAACACAUUUUGUUCCAACAAUCUCCCCCUUUUUGAUGAUGACAAACAAUAGUAUUUAAAAUGUUCAAUUGUUGUUGAUCCAAUUAACAAGUUGACUACCAGGUAUGAGGUUUGUAAGCUCCCCCUAAGUCCAAUAGACUUUUAAGGUGAGGUUUGUAAGCUCCCCCUAAGUUCUAUACAAGUUAAUUAAAUUUUUCAUAAAAUACACACAAGGUAAUAACUCAGAAGCGUUUCUCAUUAAAAGACUAAGAGUUUAGAAACCGGUUCUAUUAAUUUAACUUGAUUAAAUUAAUGGGGCUCAGAGCCUAAAAAUACAAUACAUUUAUUCCCCCUUUUGUCAUCAACAAAAAGUAUAAAAGAAAGACAAAACGAAAGAGAGUUAAAAAAAAUGAGAAAAACUUGUUAAACAAAAUAAUCAGAAGCAGUAAGUAUCAGAGCAAAAAUAAGUAACAGAAGAAUAACAUUCAUUUUAGAAAGAGUGAAUAAUAAUCAGAACAUGCAAUGUGAACAAUCAAGGAAAGACAAUAGUUCAUAAGGCUAAACAAGUAAAAAAUCUAAACAAGAGACGUAAAUGUGUGCAACUAAGGUUUGGCUUGUUUAGACAUUGCUUCCAUCAACUGCUUGAUCUGCUUAGAUUGUCUCUUCAAUUCUUCUUAAAGUUCAACAACAUUCAACUUCAAGAAAAUUCUAAUCAAGAUAUCUAAGAACAGAUCUUGAAUGGAGAUUCUACUAGCUGAGUUGCCAAUGGCGGAGCUAGGAAAAAUAUUUUGGGUGUGCCAGUAAAAUAAACUCUAAUAUAUAAACAUAAAUUUUUUGUUGUAAUAAACGCUAAACACAAAAUUUCAUCAAAAAAUUAAACUACAUACCUUAAAAAAUUAAAAUAAUUAUUUACGCGAUCUAACUAACUUAAAAUCAUCAAUAACUAACUCAAAACUAAUACUUGCACUAAUUUCCCUUUCGAUAUAAACCGUCAUGCUAUCAUUUAAAAACUCACUUCCCAUUCAGUCUUGAUAAUCUUCACUGCUGAAAAAGAUCUCUCAAUAAUGGUCGUAGAAACUAAAAAAGUCAUGAUAAGGCCGAGUAAGUAAUCUAUAAAUCAAGAAGUACAUUGAAGGAUGAUUAAUGUCAUAUAUUUAUACCAUGCUUCCUUUAAAUAAUUGGGAAACACAUAAGCAUAUCAAAGAUUCUAUAUUAGGUACAUGAGCCAUUUGAUUCUAUAUUACACAUAACACAAUUAACAACCUGAAGCAAAAACGAGACCCGGGUGGGGAACGUGGACAAAACAUAUUGGGCUAAGGAUUUUUUUUAUAAUUUCCCUAUAGAAAAAUAAUAAUUUGGGGGGGUGGGCCGUGGCCCACCUACACCCAUACUAUCCUCCGCCACUAUGAGUUGCUAUUCUUCAUUGUUAACAUUUCCUGCAUGAAAUAUUAAAUCAGACAUUAAUAAAUAUUUUACGUUAUUGAAUCAAUUUUUCUACCUUAUGAUCAAGACAUAAAAAAAAAAAAAAAAAGACAAUAAAUAUGUGUUUAAAAUUUAAGGGUAAGCAAAAUACAUGCAAUCCAUAAGUCGAUAGCAAAACAUUUGCGCUUUAUAUUAAGAACUCAGAUUUUCAAACCUAAAUAAAAAGAACAACAAUAUCAAUAAGUAAAUCUAAAUAUUAAUAGCCAAACCAAUGUUUAUUCAAGAAGUCGAUAGCAUCUACUGUAACAAACAAUCUAUGAGAUACUUUUUUUAAAACGUUAAUUGUAAUUUUGUAUUAAUUAAGAUGAAAGAAUUAAUUAGCACUUUCAUCAAUAUCGUCAUUUAUUUGCAAAAAGAAGCCUGUGCUUCAAAAUAAAACAUUUUGCAUUCAAUUAUCAUAAAUUUUGAUUGUUGUUUGCUUCUACUACUGAAACAUCAAGAACAAGUUGGCAUGAAAUUGAUAUAUCUUCGUUUUGUCAACUAAUUAUAGUUUGGACCAAUAGUUCAAUCUUAACCAAUUAUCUAGUUUUAUUUAUUUUUUAAAAAGUAUUCAAAAUAUGAAUUGAGAAUACCACCAUCUGAACUUAAUCAAAUUAUCCAUAUCCACAAUGUGUCUUUGUGUAACUACGCACACUCCAUACGAAGUGGCAGUAAACACGAUAGCAGCAUACCAAAACGGUCCAUACCUACAACAAUGUAAUUGCCCAACCAUAGACAAUACAUUUUCGAUAAACCGAAGAAACAAUAAUUAUUUUUAUUUUAUUUAAAAAUAAAUAUUUUUUCUGCCUAAAGAAAAAUAAUACAUUGAUUUUCUUUGAUCAAACUAACCACAAAUUCAUUGAUUCAAAAAUGGAUCUAGAUGAUGAAUAAGACAUAUACACACUAUCUAUCUUAACCCAACGAUCUAAGUUACACUAUUGUGGACUUAAAUCCACAUUGUGUAAUGGUGUGACUGCAAAUAAUAAAUUUUUGGCUUAAAUGCUCUUUUGGUCCCUUAACUAUUUAAUUGGUAUCGUUUUGGUCCCUUUUGUUAGGUUUCCGUUAGGGUUUUUAAAAAAAGUUAACUUCUGGACACGUGUCACCUUGUCAUUGGCUCUGAGUUUUUUUUUUUUUUUUUUUUUACAAUUUUUUUUUUACAAAAAAAAAAUCUCAGAGCCAAUGACAAGGCGACACGUGUCCACACUUAACGUUUUUUAUUAAAACUAACGGAAACCUAACAGAAGGGACCAAAACGAGACUAAAAAAAAACUUAAAAUCCUCAAACAAUCUUUUUUUUAGUUAAGGGACCAAAGCGAUACCAAUUUUUGUUCAACCUUAAGAAAAAUCAAAACAAAGAUCACCCAUAUGCAAGUUAACAAUGAUUUCAUGCAAACAUAUACAACCAUAUAUGCUAAAUAUUCACCAAAAUUUUGGAUUUUAUUUAUACAAAAUAAUGGAUCUAAAAUCGAAGUGGAAAUUAUACACCAGAUCUUAAUCGAACAAUCUAGAUCCAUAUUAACGCAUCUUUCAAAUGGAUCUAAAAAACAAGCAGAAAUUAUUCACUGGUAGAUCUGAAUCAAACAAUCUAGAUCCACAUUUGUAAUGGUGUAACUAUAGACAAUAAAUUUUUGAUGAAACCCAAGAAACAAUAAAUAUUUUUAUUUGUUCAACCUUACGAAAAAUCGGAUAAAGAUAACCCAAAUCUUAGUUGAACGAUCUAGAUCCAUAAUAAUGGAUGCAGAAAAUUGUCUUUCGUUUUAAAAAUGGAUCUAAAAAAUAUGCGAAAAUUAUACAUUGGCAGACCUCAAUCAAACGAUCUAAAUCCAUAGUGUAAUGGUGUAACCGCAAACAAUCAAUUUUUGAUGAUUUUUUCAUGAAAACUGUGAAACCAUAAAUAUUGUUCAACCUUAAGAAUAAUCAGACGAAGAUCACCGAGAUGCAAGAUAAUCAUAAUUUCAACAAGUAAAAUCACAUAGAAAAUUGAUUGAUUUAAGCAUACCUCAUCUCCUAAGCUCCUUACAAAGAUCAUAGUUAAUAAAAAACCUACUAAGGAAAGUUGAAAGGACCUAGCAAUGUCCCUCUCUUAGAUAUAUGGGGGUGAAUGGAGUGAGGAUUAAAAUCGAGACUACUUUAAAAUAUAUAGUCAAAGACCUUGAAAUGAUCAUUUUACCACAACAAUGCAAAAAAUAUUUUAUUUAUUUUCUAUCCUUAAUUACUAGAAUAAUAAAUCACAGCUAUUUGGAAGUACAAGAACCUACUGUUUUACUUGGGUCAAUGGUUUACUAUUUGUUUUAGUUACAGGAAAUUGCUUAGCUCUAUCCCGUCAUUUAUUUAAUAUUCACUCAAAUAGGAAAAUAUCAUUUUUUGAAAAGGAACAUAUUGUCGUGGUUAUAAGAGUCCAUCCACACACACAAAAAGUCACGGUAGCCAGCAACUAUGAUGCAUGGUAAUAUAGACCACCUUACUCCAACAAUUUCCCCAAUCAUUCCAAGAAACUUGUGUGUUGACAUCCAACAUUUUAUUUAUCUUUUCUGCUUUGCUUAAAGAGUGUAUUUCCCUUUUUAAUUCUAAAUUUUAGUUUAGUCAAAGAAAGGAUUUGGCAAUCUAGUUUUUACUCCAUGGUUUCAAAGGUAACAUUUGACUUGCAAUCAACAUAAUAUAUUAAUUACAAAAAUCAACACCGAGACAUGUGGAUGUUAUGGUGUACAGAUGGGUAGGGAAAAACAUGCAUGUGUAGACAUGACUAGGGUUUUACCGCUUGUGGGAUUAGGUGUCAGACCUUUUACCGGAAAACAGGUAGCCCUAAAAGCUACGUCAAGCAAAGUGGUUAAAAAUGAGAAAGCGUGUUCUGACAAUCAACAUGUUUUUAUACCAUUUAUUGUUGACACUUUCGGUUUCUUAGCACCAGAGGUUGUUGACCUUCUACAUAGAGUUCAAAAGGUCAUGCAUAGUAAUGUCAUGUCUCAUAAGUUAAUAAAUGUUGUGUUUAUAUGGAUUGGUUUUGCCAUCCAAAAAGGUCUAGCGGCGCAGUUUGUUGCCCCAUUGUCUUCUAUUCAAGUGUAAAUAUAUGCGCAAUUUUUAUUUUGAUAAUAAUUUAAAGGCUAAAUUAUGGGUGUGUUUGUUUCAAGUUAUAAUUGUUGAUUCCUGGGAAUAAAAUGAUUGGAAUGUAUAUGCCUAUGUUUGUUACAAGUUUACUAAAUUUUAUUCCCGGGUAUAAAAUGUUCCUGGGAAUAGAAAAAAUUUCCCAAGGAAAAGGGUGGGAAUAAAGUUCCCAUGGAGAUGGGAAUAAAUUCAUAAAUAGUUUACCUAUUAUAAUCCCUAUUUUUAUGGUUCCUAGGAAUAUUAUAAAGCUAAGCAAACAUAUUUUUCCUAAAUUUCUUGGAAUAAAAUUCCCAUCUUUAUAUUCCAAGGAAUGUUAUUCCUAGGAAUAAAUUUGGUAAACUUGAAACAAACACACCCAUAUGUUUUUGGUCUCUUAACUAUUUAAUUAGUAUCAUUUUGGUCCCUUAAUUAAAAUUUGAUUUAUUUUGGUAUUUUAACUUCUCUCCGUUACACAUUUUGUUCUGGAAUUUUUCUUGGAUUUUUGUUGUUGAAGGUCGAUGGAUAUGAUGUGAAGAUGAAGAAGAGGAGAAGAAGAUGAAGAAAACAUAACGUUUUUAAAUUAAAACUAACAAAAAUGACCAAAAUAUGUAAGGAGAGAGAGUUAAGAUACCAAAAUAAAUCAGAUUUUAAUUAAGGGACCAAAACGAUACUAAUUAAAUAAUUAAGGGACUAAAAAUGCAAUUUAGCCUAAUUUAAAAAGCAAUAAUUUCGUUAUUUAGCUUUAGAAAAUGUGGGUUUUUUUUUUUUAUCUUUUGAUGAAGUAAACAAGUGCUGUGUGGAAAAAGGUUUAGACUUGAAAAUAAUUUUCUUUCUUUCAUUAUAAAGACAGAAAGAAAUGGAUUGUAUAAUGUAAUUAAUAAUUACAGAUUACAUAUACUGAAUAGUAGAGGUAACGCUAGUUAUAGCAAAAUUCAUUAGCUAUUGAUGCAAGAAAUACUAAUACACAAGAUUCACUACACCAAUUUUGACAUUUAGUAGCGCCUAUUUAAUAGCACUUUUAAAGAAAGUGCUAUCUAAGAGUUGACUCUCGUACAAAUAAUAGCAGUUUGGCGCGGGCGCUAAUAUAGGUUGACAUGUAAAAUAGCACUUUCUCUAUUAUUGGCUAUUUAAAAAAAAAAUAUAAAAAAUCAAGAAAGAGUGGGAUAGCGCUUUCCGCUAAAACGCUAACAUAGGGGUAUAAUUUGUUAGCACUUUAUAGUGAACGCUAUCUAUCUAAUGCGUGUUAAAAUAAAAUUAAAAAAAGCAGAAACUAUUUUGGGUUCGCGCUGAUAUAAUUUUCCUUUCCCACCCGUCUUUUCACACAAUCAAUAAGAACUUCUUUUCUCUCACUUGAACCCAGAACUUCUUUGAACAUCAUUCGAAUCUCAGCCUCAGCUAACUCAUACCAUACCCAUCGAACCCCAUAUCUCCCAUGUCAUCAUCUCACUCUCAACGAUGAGAUACAAAACAUCAUUUGCUGGAGUCCACAAAUGCCGAACUCUCUCCCUAGUCCCUAACCUCAUACCUUCAUCGAUCUAUCUCUCACCUAACCCAUCAUUUGAACGCUCUCUCUCUCUCUCUCUCUCCCUCGUUGAACUCUAAUUGAAUCAAUUGAUUGAAACCCCCCAUCUUUCAGAAAUCAAUUGAACCCUAAUUUGGUAAGUAUUAGUUUCUUUUUGUUUUUGAUUUCUCAAUCUGCUUUUCAGUUUCGGUGGUGCACUGAUAGUAGUUUUUUUUAAAGAAAUUGUUUUCAAUUUUAUGAUAUAUUUAUGUAUAUUAGUGUGAUGUAAUUUGAUUAGUUUUUUUUUUUGUUUUGUUUAUAGAAUUUGAUUAUAAUUUGCCCAAUUUGAGAGGUCGACACCACCACUUAAGAAACUGAAAGUGAUUGUGUAAUGAUAUGUAUAGAUGUUGUUUUUGGUGUUGAACACUUACGCCAACCCUUGUCGGACACUAGUUGUGCAUUUGAGCCGAAGUGUGUUGGUGCUAUAUAGAUUUUGGUGAGAGAUUUGAAUUUUUUUAGAAUGAGUUGUUUUCAAUUUGAUGUUGUAUGUAUAUUAGAGUAAUUUAAUGUAAAUAGAAUUAUAUAUAUUUUUUUGUUUAUAGGAAAUAAUUUAAGAAAAUGGAAGUGAUUGAAUGCAAUUAUAUGUUUCAAUGUUGUGGUUGCAAGGUCUGUUCUUGCCUUGUGUUUACGUGCAGUUGGGGUUUGUAUAGGUUGAAGUUCUCGCCUUGUAUGUGUAUGAAUGGAGAUGGUUCCCAUGUGAUUUUUUGUUGAGUGGCGUGUCUUAGCCUAUGGUUCAACUGCCGUCGAUAAUGUUUCUUCUUUUGACGAUCCAAUUUUGUUUCCUUGAUCAUGUUUUAUAUUUUUUCCUUGUUCUUGAGCAAUUGCAAGGCUUCAUGUUUGUGAAGUUUCAUAUGCUUUUCCUCUUCCUUCAUAAGAUUUUCAGCCUCCUCGUCUUUUUUCAGUUUCUAGGAAAAGUAGAUUUUCUGAAAUUAUUUUAAGUUGUGUAUUGCUAAAUGUUCUAAGGAGCGGCGUUCUGAUUAUCUUAUUAAUAAAAUUGUGAAGAUUGGAGUGUUUUAACAUUGUACCAAACAGAUAUUGGGAUGCCUUGAAACUCUAAUGUAUAUAUGAAUUGAUAAUUGUGUGUAUAUGUCAAUUAAAAUGAUUUCAUUUAAUGUAUUAAUUUGGGGUUUGUGAUACAGAUUAAUCAAAUUCUAUGUGAGGCAAUUGGUGAACACAGUCUUCCAUUGAUAAGAAGGUAAAUGUUUUUCCUUUCCUUUCCCAUUUUGGUAGUGUAGGUGCGGCCGCUUAGAAUUGGUCUUAAGUUUGUGCAUUUGGUGUGUUCUGUUAACAUUGCAAGGAUGUAUUGGUUAGGGAUGUUUGGUGUGAAAUAACCUGCAGAAUUUUGCAGUGGUGGAUCAGAUUUGUGUUGUUUUGUUGUCUCGGUUCUGUUUUGGGGUGGGAGUGAUCUAGAAUUGCUUGUGUUGUUUCGUCGUUUGGAGUCAAUUGAGGGUUUCAAUUGAGUCGGUUUUCUGAUCUGCCAGUAGUAUUGGUUCGAGGACAGCGAAUUCGGGUUAUGGUACCUUUUCAAAUUCUACUUCAAUACGUACAAUAAAUUGGUACUUAUCACUCCCUUUACUCUUCUUUUUUUUUUCUUCAUGAGAUCCUGAUCCAGGUUGCGCUGCUACUACUGAACUGUUGCGGCUUUGAGCUUUUGCUGCGGUUCUGCUACUCCUAAUUGCUACUGCUGUUUUGCGCUGCAUCUGUUGUACCACUGAUUUGCGCUUCUGCUGCUGUUCCUAUUCGCUGCUACAGUCUGCUUCCUCAUCUCCUUCCAUUGCGUUACAGACUCAUUGUGUUACAGUCCCGUCCAAACUAUUUUCUUUGUUGGUUUUAAAGGUUUGUCUUUUCCCUGUGACUGUGAUUGUAGUUGAAUUUGUUGCUGGCGGGGACGAAACUAGGUAUAGCCAUAUAGGGGCUGUUGCCACCCCUAAGAAAUUUGUUGACAAGACCUAUAUUGUAUUCUUUGCUAUUUGCCGCCCUCCCCCUAAUGCGUUUAAGCCGUCAAACAUUUUUCACACAGCCACCUAGCUAGAACCCAACAACCACAAAUACAAUGCCCCUAAAUCAUUCUCAACAAUUAUAUCCAAUAAUCAUAUAUCUUUUUUCAAGAUAUUGAGACAGAAAAACCUUAUAUAAGUGCAAAAAGUGAAGGAAAAAAAUAUACAAAAACAACACUAAAAGUCACGUUCUUUAUUUUGUUAGGAGCCUAGAUCAUUAUGGCUUGCUUAAAUUAAUUUUUUAUGAAUCCUGAAUGUAAAAACCAAAUGUAGUAAUAAAAAAAUAUAAUAUUUAUAGGCUACUAAAAGAAAUUUAUUUAUUUUUUAUGUGUUCGUGUAUGUGCUUGAAAAUAAAAUCUACAAGUUGAUUUUGUUUAUCUACCAUGUUUUAACUUGGUAACCCUCAAUAUUAUUUUCUAGUUCCGUUCCUGAUUGUUGGGACUGUUCUUAUAACCUUUGUGUGGGUUCUUAAUCUUUGUAAGGGAGCUAAAUCUAUUAUCGAGUUCUGUUUUUAUUAAUAAUCAAGUUUAGUGUGUUGAUUGUGUGUGUGUUACUAUUUGUUUGCAUCUUGCAGCAAUAUCACUACUCGUUGUAGUGCAUACUUUGGAGACCAAUAUUAGUCUUGGAAAUGUGUCUUUCUCAUUCACUCACACCAAAGCUAUAGAGCCUUUCUUUUCCAUCAUUCUUUCUCCCAUAUUUAUUGGAGAGGUUAGAAUGUUAUUCUUUUCUUUUUCCUGCAAAUUGUCAUUGCUUAUUGUAAUUAGUCUGCAGUAAAUUUGAUGAUAAUUGAUAAGUAUGUAUCAACCUAGUAAGCUUUUAAAUUAAAGGAGAGAGUGAGUUUACAUAUGUGUGGCUGAAAUUGGUCUUUGGCCUCUUUUAAGUUGACCACUAUUUCUAUUUAUUUUUUUGAGAUGUUGACCUCUCUCUCUAGGUGACUAACUUUUGUCUUUUUUCAUAUUUUCUUGUAUAUGUCAAGUGACGUGUUGUAAUGUGGCAUUAACCAAUCAUUCAAGCACUUAAAGAUGACAAAAUAUGUGAGUUUUGUUGUAUUUUGAUGUUAAAAUAACUCAUUUUUUUCUAUAAUUAACUCCUUGAAAUACCCAUUGUCUCGUUUCGGAGAUGACACUAUUUCAGUUGUAAUCAUUGUUGCAGAGAUCUUCAAAGUAAGCUUCAUACUCUCUUUCAUUUUUAAGAUUUAAGUGGUUACACUGACAUUAUUUUGUACUUCUUAGUAGCUUAUUUUUUAUUCAAAUUUUGGUUUCUAAUAUUGGUUUGUGAGAUCUGGUUUUGUCUAAAUUAUAGUUAUAGUUCAUAUUAAAAACAAAAACACAUUGCUUGAGAUCCUUGAUUGAUUAAUUUAUUGAUUCAAACUAGUCAAAUUUAAGGACAAAUACCUAGAUCCUUUAUUCAUAUUCAUAGUUAUCAAGUGUUUUACCUUAUGAAUGUACAACUUAUUCCACUAAAAGAUAUAUUCACAUUGCAACAUAUCUUUUUUUUACUUCUCUAUUUGGCACCAACUUCUAAAACUGUAGAGAACAUCAUGUGGUGAAUGUCUUUAAAACACCUUGGAGCCUAGAUUACAUUCACAAAACCUUGUACCUUUCUAACAUACUUUUGAUUAUGCUUUGUAAUAAUAACUUAGUUUACGGGAAGACUAUCACCAUAUCAACAAGUUAUUUCAAAAAUUCACCUUAACUGUGAUUUCCGCUACUACUAAUUAUUACUGCUUGUUUUGUGUUUGUGAACAUUGUCGUAACUACUUAAAGUAUUGAUAUGAUUUGUGAUUGUUCUUUGCAGCUCAAAGUUGAUAAGGUUAAGCUAAUUGAAGUAUUUGGUAUCAAUCUGAAUUUUCAAGUGCAAUUGUUGUGUAUGUACAAUGAAUCUCCAAUGUGCAAUUUGUUUAUUAUGGUUGUGAGUGGUAUGAUUAACGAAAUGUGAAUGAUGUAAUUUUGCUUUUAUGAUGAAAGAUUUAAUUUCCAUGCUUGUAAUUGGAAUCUGAGUUGUAUUUUGUUGUUAGGUUCUUUUAUAAUGAAUGACUUAUAUAGUAUUUUUUAUGAUUAAUGCAAGUGUUUACUUUUAUGAUUAAUGCAAUUGAUUUUUUUUUUUUUUUAAAUAUUUACAUUUUAAAAUCUCAAAAUUAAUUUUUUUCCAUAUAAAAGAAGGCCUACGAUAGCACUCUGUUAAAAAAAGGCUAUUAAAGAAAGGAUUUAUGAUAGCACUUUCUCAAAAAACACUAUUAAAUCCAUUUGAAAAUAGCCUCACUAACUCGCACCAAAGUAGGAACGAUAGCACUUUAAAAGUGCUAUCAUAGGCAGUAUGCUUACAAUAGCGGGGGCUUCAAUAGCACUUUUAAGUGCUAUUAAAGGCAAAAAAAAGUGCUAUUAAAUCCCUUUUUUGGCGUAGUGAUUUUUAUCCAUACAGCUAAAUCUUUGUAUUAUCUGAUGUGGACAUUUUCUCAUAAUAAUUAUUAUUAGUAAAAUUAUGUUAUUAUCUCUCCCUCUUCAACAAGUCGGUUUUAGUUUUCUCUCUAUCUCUCUUUUCUCUUACAAUUUCUUCAUCGAGGGGGUGGUUUUGGGUCAAUUCUUGAUCUAAAAUCACCCAUCUUCAUCUUUUUCUCUUUAUUUCAAUCUAAAUAAGUGAUUUUCACAUAGAUCUAGCUUUUUUUCUUUGUAAUUUCAUCAUCUAAGUGUGGUGAUUUGUUGUUCGUCGUCUUGUGUGGAAUUGUUUGAUUUCCCGUCUUCGUGCGGUGGACAUUUGAUUCAUAUUGAAAGAUCGAUUGUUCAAUCAAAGAUUUGGGCAUCAACGUUGCAGAUUCGGAGGCAAUGGAUGUUCCAGUCACUUUAAUUUCAUCAUAUACUUUUGUAGACAUUAUGCCGUUAUAUGCAAUUAACUUGGAUGUUGUGAGUUUAUUCGCAGAUUCAUCCUUUACGUUUUUAGUGGUGUUGAAUAAUGUAAUCUCUCGAUUUGAAUGAAUGAAUAUCAUUUUGUUUUUGUCAAAAAAAAUAAUAAUAUUAUUAGUGAUAAAAUAGUGGAAGCUUUUAAGACUAAUUUCAAUUAAAUUUCACAAAAGAAAACAAUUGAAUCAGGUAACUAAAAUUCUAAUUUAUUAAGCGAAGAAAAACCCACAUUUGCAAUUAAAAUUAUUUAAAACCAAAUCCUUAAAAUAAAAGUGCCAAGAAUUUAGAAGUAAACACAGCAACUAAUCUCCCAAGUUUCUUUCCUGAGAAUUGACACACAAUCACAACAACAGAACACAUUAAUCAAUGAAUUUUCUUCAAAUUUGGUUGUACAUGUAAUGUUAUGUAAGGGUCAGACCACAACAAUAUGGAUCAAGUUAGGAACAUCAACUCAGUAUACAAGUGACCAACAUAUCAUUUCUCAAAAUUUCACAAGACACAAAUUUAUCAUAUUUAUUUUCAAAUAAAUAUUUAAUUCAUGUAUUACGUAACAAAUUUUAAUCAGCAGUUAAAUUAAGCUAGGAACAUCGAACAAACCCAAGGAAGGAUGACCAAACAUGUUUAUUAUCUAAACGCGGAAUAGUGACAGCUAGAUCAAUGAGGAUUGAAUCAUGCUUUACAUGCAAACGAGGAUUCAACUUUUCGUUUUAUUCUUUAGUUAAUUUUCCUGCCGUUAAAAGUUUUUCCAUAUUUUUUGUCUAUGUUUUUAAGUUAAGUCAUACGUACCCCUUGAAUUUUUAAAUGAAUUUUUGUUGGAUUGGUUUUUUUUUUUUUUUGUUUGGGAUUUGAAUCAUGAUCUUACAUAGAUUAUGCAUUGUCCUUACCAACUAAGCUAAAUUCAUGAGGAUAGAUUGUUUAAAAUAUGAUAAGAAUCUCCACAAAACAAAAGAAUUUUUUAAUCAAACAAAAGUUAAAUAUGAAUCUUUAAACGCCAAAAAUAUAAAAAAUUAUAUUUAAUUCAUGUUUGGUUAAAAAUUAAUUAAUUUUAUUUAGAGAGAUUCUUAUAAUAUAUAAAUAUUUUAGUAAAAAUUUAUUCAAAAUUUCAAAAUUACAUAUGAGUUGAUUGAAAAACAAAUACCAAAAAUGUUGAUAGAAAGCUUUUGAAGAUUAAAAGUCAAAACAACUUUUUUUAAAAAGAUUAUAACGAAAAGUUAGACUAUUUAUUAAGAUCAAUAACAUAUUUAAUUCAUUAAUUAAUGAUGAUUAAUUUGCAAAAUAUGAUUCAUUAAUGGGAGAUUGUUGAGGUUCUGGAAUAUUUUUUUUUUAAGGAAAAUGUUUCUAUUUUUUUUUUUUUUUCCAAAUAGUCUAGUGGUUAGAGAAAUUCACCUUAAAGGUAAAUAAGUGGGGUGUUCGAACUCCGACCCCUGCAUAUAAUAUACAUUAUCCUUUACCAAGUGAGCUAAGGGACAAAAGUUUCUAUUUCAAACAAUCAUGAGUUAACUUUUUUGGGUGGAUUUUAAUCUCCAUGACGCUGUUUAUUUUCAAAGAUUGAUAUAUUCCAAUUAAAAUGAAUAUAAAAUGACUGGAUUGAGCUAAACAAUUUCCCACAACCAAAAUAUUCCAUUCUUGUACAUAUAUUUGUAUAUAUAUAUAACUAUAAUAAUAAGACGAAAACCAUAGCAUAGUACAGCUGCAAAUCAAACUCUUCAACGACCACACGUUUGAUUUAUUAGCUAAGAAUACAUAUAAAUAUGUUUAAUACAUGAGAACUUCCUCAAACAAUUUCUCACUAUAAUCUCAAGAGAAACCAUUACCGCACCAUCUUUAUCAAAACAAAGCCUCUUCUAUAUAUUGAUCUCUUUCUCAUAGCCAUCAUGACUAAGGUAAAGAAUAACAACUCUGAUAUUUUAACAACCAUUUGAGACAACUUUUAUGAUAACUUCAUUUCUCUCUUUUUAUUGCUCAAAAAACAAUAGAGAGAUAAAUAUAAGAGAGAAUAAGAAUAUAAUAUGAAUGUGAAAGAUAAAGUUGUUAAAAAAUUGUUAUAAAAUAGUUGUACAAAUAUCAUUUUUCAAAAAAUAAUUUUGAGUUUGACUUCCAUGAUUCAAAAUAUCUAAGCUACGUUUACUACAUGUAGACAAAUUUUAUGGUGCAUAAAUGAGAUAAAUAAUUUUAUCAUGCAUAAGUUAGUUUUCACUGUUUGAUCAAUAAAAUUUACCAUUAAAUUUAAUUAGAUAUGAUUUAUUGAUCAUAUGGUAAAAAAGACACUUGUGCACGAUGCAAGUUUUUUUUUUUUUUUUUCUAAUAUUAGACAAAGCCUUAAAUAUAUAUCAUAAUUAAAUUCCAUUUAUAUGUGUCGUUUCAUCAAGUAAAUAAUUAGCGUUACAUACGUUUGUUUGUAAAAUGUUUGCAGCAAAAGAUAGUGAUCAGGGUGCCUAUGAACAACCAAAAAUUAAGGAACAAAGCCAUGGCAAUUGCAGUUGGAGUCUCAGGUAAUAAAAUUCACUCUAAUUUUCUCAUAUAUUAAAAAAAAAAUUAAAAACCACUACUUGAUUAACCAAUUAUUCAUGUGUAAAAAUAUUCAGGAGUGGAAGGUGCAACUAUAAAAGGAGAUAACAAGGAUCAAAUAGAAGUAACUGGAGAAGAGAUUGACUCAGUUAAACUGGCAUCUCUACUAAGAAAGAAAUUCGGUUAUGCAGAUUUGGUGAGUAUUGAAGCAGUAGGAAAGACAGAGGAAAAGAAAGAUAAAGAGAAAGCAGAGGCAAUUGUGGCAUGGCCUUGUGUAUAUUCUAGUGUUCCUCAUUACCCUGUGUAUGAGAUAAAGAACGAACCUUCUUGUUCCAUCAUGUGAAUGUCAUCUAGAAUAUGCAUGGUAAAGAAUGAAAACAGAGGAAUACAUAUAUAGGAAAAUAAGCAUAUAUACUUAAGGGUAUAUUUUGUAGUGACAAAGAUUUAUUUGGAAGUUAUUGAUUUUGUAAGAUUGGUUUUGAUUAAGAAUAAAUAAAAUAUCAAGUGAUUAAUAUUUUUGUAUAAUGAUGAGUUGAGUAAUAAAUUUGAGUCGAUAAAAAUCAAUUUUAAUGGUGUGUUUGAUCUGCUAAAAAAUAAGGGAUUUGCCAUGACAACUCCAAUUAUAUUGUAUUUGAUUGUAAAAUUGUUCUCAUGAUUGGACUAAUUGGGGAAAUAGAAUGUACGAAAACUGAAAUUCUUGUCUCACUAAACCGCAACACAAGAGCAGUCACAUCUAAGCAUUGAAAUGGUCGAGUACUCCAUUGAUAUAAAUUGUAGGAGAAACCCUUGGUUUUACUUUCAAUCUAAGAUCAAAUCAAAAGCUUCACCAAACCAACCAGAUGACCUUUGUGAUUGUCCUGAUUAUCAAAAACAGUUUGAUUACACCACUUUCAAAUAAUUAACAAACAAGUUAUUCAUUUUAAAUGAAGGCACUCCUUCACCUUUUUUUUCUAUUGGAAAUCAAACCUAUAAAUAGAGUAGCAUGGCUAGAUUUUUUGUUUGACAAAGCACUACUAAUGACUAGCCAUGACAAAACAUAUGAUAACUUACAAGAUACAUGACAAUUAAAAAAAGUGUUUAGAGAUCAAGUCGUAAGCUUCUUUGGUUGAGUAUAAGAUAUCAGGGUUAGUAUCCCAUAUCCCAUUGCCAAACAACCUCAUCUUGCAAAGAAAAAUUAGCGAAUAAAGUAAUGAACCGUCAGCUAAAUAUUCCUCUCAAGUAAAUAAACCUUUUCUCCAACUCCACCUUCAUCCCACAACAAAAUCUUUUUUUUUUGGUAACACGCUUUAUCAAUGAACCCCUAUGAAUUUUACGAGAUUCCUCACUCUCUCCAUAUAAUAUGUAAAUAAAUACCCAAUUUUAAAGAUGGUACCUGAAGAAGUUUUGAAAAAGAUCAGAGAAAGUACAUCGACAAUGAGAUUAAGACGACUUUUAAGAGAAUCUCAUAGAUAAACUACGACAUCUUUAAGAAGACAAUUUGUCUCUUAUAUGAUCAACCACAAGAUUCCAAAACGAUAAUGUACGAGAAUCACAUCCAAUUGUCAGCCCUUAAUACUUAAAAAGAGUCAUACCUAGAGGUGUCAAAUGGGCUGGCCCGAGCCCGAGAGGCCCGAUUACAUAGAUGGCCCAGUCCCGCCCAACCCAAUUAUAAUUGGGUUGUAGAUUCUAGAGCCCGGCCCGGCUUGUGUGGGCAAUGGGCCAGCCUCGCCCCGACCCGUUUAUUUUUUACUUUUAAAAUUUAUUCACUAUUUCUUAUGUAUUUUUUUAUAUAUCAGUCACUCACCACUAUUUUUUUGCUAAAAUAUGAUUGAAUGGACAUAAAAGUGCAAAUAAUUUUGACAUUAACAUUGAAUGUUAACGAAACUCUAGAUUAUUCAUUCAAUUAAAUCAAAUUAAUAAUUUAUAAACUUUAAAAUUUUAAAACUUUAAGUUAAAUUCAUUCAUUUUUAUUAAGUUUAUUUAUUUAAAUAUUUUUUUAUAAAUAAAUUUUAAAAUAGUUGAUAACUUAUCUCAAAAAUAUACUAUUUUUUUAACAAAACUCAAAUUAAAUGGUAAUAAUGGGUUAGCCCGGCCCGAAGGCCCAUUUUUGUAUGGGCCAAAUGGGCCAAAAAAGUUCGAAUGUAUUUUUUGGGUUAGUUUUUUAGGUCCCGUCUAAAACAUGGGCUAAUGACCCGGCCCAACAUGCUGUCUAGAAAUUAAUUUUUUUAAGAAAAUGACACAAAAUUAUGUAAUUUAAAAACUUUAACUAAAACCGUAUUAUGGAUAAAAGAUUUUAAAGAUGAAAUUUUGUGGGGAAAAAAUUGUGCUAAAGAGUGGCUUAUAAGAAAAAUAGGCUGGUGUAAAAGAAACACCAUCUAAUUUAGUUAAUUUAUAUGUUGUUCCACAUGACAUUUAAGGUUCGCCCAUUUCACAACAUAUUUCUUUGCUCAAUACUAUAGAGAGUAAUAAUAUAUAUGUCUUUCGGCCAUCGAGAGUGUAACACCCCAAUUUUAUUUAAUUAGUAUUGGUUGACUUAAAGUCUUUUUAUAUAUGAUUUUAUAUUAUUAUGUUGAUUAGGUGAUGUGUAGCUAUUUUUUUAAGUAGUGUUAUUUUAUUAUUUAUUAGAAUAAGUCUUGAUAAUAGAAUAAGAUUAAGUGGUGGGGCUGUUUUGAGAUUUUAGAGAGUUUUGGGGGAAAAAGAGGAAUAAGAUAAAAUAGAUAGAGAAGAUAUAAAUAGGAGAGACCUAGUUUAGAAAAAGUAGUACGUACGAUCAGUUUUUGGAGAAAAGGGAGAAAAAUCAAGAGAAGAGAGAAACACCAAGAGGAGAACUGCGAUUUCAAUUCUAAGGUGAUCAAGAGUAGGUUGUUGUUGUUUGCUGUCGUGGGUGGCUAUCCCUCACUGAGUCUUUUAGGUGCUCUGAUACGUAACGGGAUGUGAUCUUUUGUGGCUAUUUUCUAUUCCUUACGUAUUUGACUAUGAAUUCUUAUGUUUAAGUUGUUAAUUGAAUUUUAUGAGAUGUUUUGAUAAGGCCUAUGUACCAAGACUAUUUAUGAUGUUAAAUUAAAUAUGCUGCAAAGUUUUGAAUUAAUUAUGUUGAAAGAUAAAAUUUUAUUUAUCUCAUUUAUGAUUUUUAGAAGUGUAACAUUCCAUUUAUGUGUUGAAAUACUCUGAUAAUUAUUAUGAAAUUUUUAUGUUGGAAAAACGGGGUGUUACAAAGAGUAUAAUAGCUUUUUUGCCACCGUGUAAGAGAAAACCUAGAUCAAUAUAGAGUUUAGACCUAAUCGACCGGAGUAGGCAAAUCAAGUAUACAAUCUUAGUACAAUUUAGUUUUGUUUUCUACUACCAACAUUAUUCAAUUAUAUCAUUACACAAUCACCUUGAUUUAUUCUUGAGAUAUUGCAAUAUUUUUUGUGUAAAUGAUAGUUUAAAGAAUGAGACAUGCCUAGGAAUUAGUUAUGUAUUUGUCGGCAUGUCUAGCCAUGUAUAUAUUCCAAUUAAUGUGUGUGUCUCUUUAUAUAUAUAUAACUAAUUUUUAGACAUAUAUCAUUCUUUAACCUACCAUUUACAAAAAAAAUUAUUGCAAUAUCUUAAGAAUAAAUCAAGGUGUUUAUGUCAUGAUAUAAUUGAAUAAUGUUGGAACUAAAAAACAAAACUAAAUUGUACUAAGAUCAUAUACCUGAUUCACCUACUCCAGUCGAUUAGCUCUAAACUCUAUGUUGAUCUAGGUUUUCUCUUACACGGUAGCAAACAACCUUUUAUACUCUCGAUGGACGAAAGACAUAUAUAUCAUUACUCUCUAUAGUAUUAAGCAAAUGAAUAUGUUGUAAAAUGAGCCGACCUUGAGUGUCAUGCUGAACAACAUAUAAAAGAGCCAAAUUAGAUGGUGUUUCUUUUACACCACCCUAUUUUUCUUAUAAGCCACUCUUAAGAACAAUUUUCCCCCCACAAAUAUCAUCUUUAUAAUAUUUUAUCCAAAAUACAGUUUUUUUAAUGUUUUAAAAUUACAUAACUCUUAAUCAUUUUCUUAAAAAAUAUUAUUUCUAAAAUACAAGUAUAUAUGUCUUCUGAAACUCAAUUUUCUAACCGAAUGUACUUCGAAAAACUAAUUAAUUGAAAUACACCCUAUGGUCAUUAUUAUAAGUAAAAUCUUACUUUUCAAGUUUCUUGAGUAAUUGAUGUAUCUGGUCUAUAUUAUAGACUGGAUACAUCAUUUAUUCAAUGAAUUAAAAAAGUUGUUUUUUGCUUAUAACAGUGACCUGCGUGAGCAUUUGUAAAAAUAAAUUUUUUCGAAAGGUAUGAAUUCUCCAAUAAGGGAGUCCACAAUCACCCAAAAAAAUACCUAUAACCUGAACUCCUUCAGUUUUUCGUGAUAGUUUUUGACUCCAACAUCUAAAAUGAGUAGACUUUUUGUUUUCACAAUUGCCUAUGAGAAUUUUAUUAAUCACUUGAUAUUUUAUUUAUUCUUAAUCAAAACCAAUCUUACAAAAUCAAUAACUUCCAAAUAAAUCUUUGUCACUGCAAAAUGCACCCUUUAGUAUAUAUGCUUAUUUUCACAAUUUCCUAUAUAUGUUAACACAAAUGACUUAAUGCUCAGAAAACUUUAUUUAUGAAUGUUAAAGAAUGGACAGUGUUUUCCUAGACAAGAGAAUGAGAGUUUUAGAAUGCAAGUGAUUUUGAAAUUGACAAUUGAGAAUGUGAAAGUUGUUAAAAUGAUUAUGAUCUCAAUUGGUUUUAUAGAGGCUGAAAAUGUGUUUAUGAAGCAAUGUUACCUUUUAAAAUGGGUCUCAAAUAAACAGAGACAUAUCUGAAAUGACACCUAUUGAUAAAAUUUGAAUUUUUAAAGGUGGUAACCGGUUAUAGGAGGUGCAACAAUUACACCUUCCAACGUUUAAUAUUUUUCAAAAAUACAAUUCCUGUAACCGGUUACCUAUCAAGGUGAAACCAAUUACACAUGCCCAAAAAUAAUUUUUCACGUGUUUUGGAUGAACUGCUUCAUAUGAACUUAAAACUUUAACUUCAAAAAAUAUUUGAAAAUGUUUUCUGAGCAUUCUAAGUAGUACCAAAGGUUAAGAAUGAUAAAUCACAUGAUAAGUGUCAUACUUACAAAAUGUAUAACAAUAAAGCCUAGACCUUUAACAUCAUUCUUCAACUGAAUCCGCCAUAAAUUUUUCUUCUUUUCUGAUGUGGUGUUGUAAUCAUUAAAACCCAGGCCAAAGUUAGAAAGAAAUUUUCUUUCACACAGACACCCUAGGUGAGUCCUUGAUCAUCAAAUGUUUAAUUCAACGUUAAAUAUAGUAUCACAAUAAGACAAUUCAAUAUGUCUAAAACCAUUAUCUAUUGAACAUUUAUCCUAAAUCAAGAUACAAAAGCUAGGGAUAAUAAUUUAUCAAUCCGUAUAUCUUUAUCUUUAUACUAACAAUUUAGAGUUUUUAGAAAUAGCUUAUUCCAAAAUCCUUUACUCUAAAGAUGUCCAUAUCAUCCUAAUCCUACUUGGCAUUUGUUCCAAAAAUUUCUCCUAAUUGUUAAUACAAGCUUAAUAAUUAUAAUUAUUAUUAAAAACCGUUUUUUAUUUAACAUUAAAUUGUACAUAAAAUGAAUAGUUGGUUACAAUCAAAUAAUUAUUAAUAUAACUAUUGUUUCGAUUAAAAUUUAUAUGUUACAUUAAAAAUUUGUACGUUACAAUCAAAUAAUUAUUAAUAUAAUUAGUAUUCGAUUAACAUUUAUACGGAACAUUAAAAAUUUGGUAGGUUACAAAAUUAUAAUAAAUAACUUGAAUAAAUUAUAUUUUGAAUUUUGGUCCGUUACACUAUGACAGAAACCUACUAAUUAAAAAUUUUAAUUUUAGUAAUUAGUUUUUUUAAGGUUAUAUAAUUAAUUUUUAUUCAUUACAAAAUUAUAUUAAUCCGAUAUUAUUAAAUUUCAAAUCUUAUGAAGUUAAUUUUUUUGUAGGUUACAUGAAAUAUAAUCUAAUUUUUUAAUGUACAUUUUAUAAUAUUAAAGACGUUGAAAAUAUUAAUUUUAAAACAGUCAAAUUAACAAUUAAUAUAUAUAUUGAUCGUUAUAGUACUAUUUUCUAUAUAAAUAGUAGCACUUUUGGAUAUGAGUACACAACAAUCACAAAAUGUAGUUUUUUUUCUUCUUUUUCUGUUCUCUGGUUCUUUGAUAUUUAUAUUCUAAGUUAUUUUUGUAACUUUUUAUUGCAAAGAAAAAGGUUUACAAAACACGACUUCAUCUUUGAUGUUUCGCCAAGAAAACAAUCGUGGACAUUGGUUGUGAGAGUUGUUCGUGCUUGGUUUGUUCAAGAUUACAAAAAUAAAAACUACCAUUUUCCGUGGAGUUGGUUCUAAUGGAUCGAAAGGUACUUUUUUCAUAUUGUUUUUUUUGUUUAAAGUAUAGUGUUUUAAUCUUUGUUAUCUCAUAGAUCACAAAUUGAGCUUGACAGAUAGCAUGUAAAGUGAUACAAAAUGAAAUAUUAGCUCAAAUAACACUCUUCCAUGAUCCUAACACAGUUCUAGAGCAGAGUCAUCAUGAACAUAUAUCAACAACACAUAUGCAACAAAGGGAAUCAAAGUUUAUCAAUAUUUAUGACCUUUGUAUUUUACCUUUAUUUUUAGUGGCCUGAUCUAUCUCGCAUUAGCAUACUUGAAGAGUUUUUUUAACCUUACUCUUAGGAUCACCAUUAAUGAGUUGAAGAACUUGCAUGAAAUUGAGUGGGUUGACAUAGAUCUCCUACUUUUUUCUAACCCACGUUUGGUGGAGGUUUUAACUUGUGGGAUUCAGUUAGGAACUUUAAGAAGGAGGAAGUGUUUGUUUGGUAAAAGGGGAACAAUGAAUUCGAAAUCAAAAUUACAGUAAAGUAUAACAAAAUUAGGUUAGAGUGUUUUAAUUUGUGACUCAUGAUCACUAAUUAAAAAAAAAUGAUGGGAGGAGAUUAAAGAAAGUUGUUUUCUGUCAAUUUUUUCUCACUGGAGAUAAUUUGUGUAACGCCCUAGUUGUUAUAUUUAAUUAUUUUAUUAUGUGGAGUAUAUAUAUAUAUUAUAUAUAUGAUGUUUGGUGAUUUAUGCGGAGUAGAUGUAUAUAUAUAUUUAUAUAUAUGUGAUUUGGGGUGAUUUAUGUGGUGUAUUAUUUUAUUAUAUGGUUUAUUUAAUAAUAAUUAUAAUAAGUAUGAAAUAAUAAUUAUUUUGGUGUCUGGGGAAUUAAUAUAAUUUAUUGGAAUUAAAGGGAGUUAAGUGUAAUAAUGGGGAGUUGAGAAGGCAGUUAAGAUAGAAAGUUAGAGUCAGAAACACUUUUACGUGAAACUGACAGUUUUGGGAGAAAGGAUGGAAGAGCAAGUAGAACUCAGGAAACCAAUUUGCUGUGCAUUUCUUUCUGCAAUUCUAAGGUAAGGGUGAGGUUUACUUCAAUAGUGUAGAUUUUAGAUUCUGAUUUUGUGUUUAACAGAGUUUUGGUGAGAAUUGGGGAAAUUGGGUUUUUAUGAUGAGAUGAUGAAUUUGAAGUUGUAAGUGUGAAUUUGGUGUUAGAAUUAGGUUCCAAGUGCAUACAGAAAGUUAAUUUGUAUCUGUAAACUGAUUUGGGGAGUGAUUGGAAGAAAAAUGGGAUUUUGGGGAAAAACCAGUUUUCUGCCCGUACUGAUGUUCAUCGCUCGCCUCGCGAGCAUUCAUGUCUCGCCUCGCGAGUGAACAACAUCAUCACUCGCCUCGCGAGCAGUCCAACUCGCCAUGGCGAGUAGCCCAGAUAAAAUUGUGAUUUUUGAAAAGUUGUUAUAAGAUGUUUUGGGGAUGGUUUAAAGUACCUAGAUGAUAAUAAAGAUGAAUGGUGGAAGUUUUAGGUUAAAAAGAUGAUUAGGGAACAUAGAAAUGAGUUCUGAGUGUGAAAAUGGUAUUUUUUCCGAGAGCACCUGAUUUCCACUCGCCUCGAGUUCGCCCUUGAACUCGCCAUGGCGAGCUAGUGUUUUUGUGAACUCGCCAUGGCGAGCAGAUGUGCUCGCGAGGCGAGUUGCACAACUCCUGAGUGUUGACUUGCUUGCAUGAUAGUGGUGGUUGAAUGUUGUUGUAUUUGGGCAUGGUUAUAUAUAGUUAUGCAUUAUUUUGGUUGUUUGAAUUGCUGGAUUGAUGAUUAUUGAUGAUGGUUGAAUGUAUGUUAUUUAUUGAAUCAUACAUAUUAUUAUAGUGGAGUCACAUGGAGUUGCAUUGCAUGGUCAGUUGUAUGUAGAUAUACACAAGUAGGUCCAUUGCAUAUGCAUAAAACAGCGGUGAGGGCUUUGGUCCUGGAGUACUAGUUGCUCAACAGCGGUGAGGGCUUCGGUCCUGAUGAAUGCUUUAACCAUUCAAAAGCAGUGAGGGCUUCGGUCCUGUUUGGUACCACAUGCAUAUUGCAUUUCAUUAAGAAGUCUAAGAUGGUGUCUUAGCAGUGGUCAUGUCAUUUGCAUGAGUCUUGGUUGUUGAUUUCAGUUAUAUCUGAUGGAUGGUGUUGGUGUUGAAUAUGCAUUUAUAUAUAUAUAUAUAUAUAUAUAUUCAUUGUGAUCAUGGUAUAUUGUUGAUGUUGUUGUUGCUUGUGACUUAUACAUAUAUAUGUUUACAAGAUAAUGUGUUGUUGAUUAGGGUGUUAGAUUCAAUUGAUGAUUUUAAUAUCUAUAUUUAUUGUUGUGAAUCUCACCCCUUCUGCUUGAAAAUGUUGCCCUUCCUAUGGGUAACUUGCAGGUGAUCUUGAGUAGUAGGUGGUGGCUCAAAGUCGUGUCUAGGGCUCCGAUACGUGGGAUGGGAUUUAUCAUUUUUAUUAUUGUUGCUUUUCCUUUCCAUGUAUCAAAUUUUGGAACUUGUGGUGUGGAGCCUUUUGUUGUCUUUGAACUAUGAUGUUGAAUUAUGUUAAGGCCUUUAAUGCCAUAGACUACUGUUGGAUGUUCAUGAGGUUAUGGAUUUUGAAAACUAUUCCGCUGCUAUGUUUUCAUAUAUAAUAAGUUGAUUUGAUUAAAUAGUUUUAUUUUCUAUUUAAGAAUUUUGAAAUGACGUGUAGCAUGCCCGUUGUGGAAUUACUCUGAUGUAUAUUUGCUAUUUAAUUGCUUUUGGUUAACGGGGUGUUACAAUUUGCUUCCGAGAGAAAUACUCUCUCCAAUCUUAAAUAUAAAAAUUAAAUAAUUUUUUUUAUCUUAAAUUAAAACAAAUAUAACUUACUUUGACUCUAUUUAAUGUUAUUUGUCCUAAUAUACAUUUUAAUUCAUGUAAGUUUCAUUUUAAUAUUUUUUUAUUCUCAUGAAACACGUUCCAAUAUAUAUAUUACUUUUCAUAUUUUUUUUUAUCAAAUCAAGAAAACUAAUUCGAGAGUAUUGUGAUUAAAUAAAAAAGUAAUAAUUUUAUUCAUACUGGUAGAUUAAAACAGAGGUAAUCAUACCUGUUUAAUAUAUUGAAUGACUGAGAAAGCAAAGUUAAUUUGAACUCUUAUUAAUUAGAUAUAUUUUUAAGAAUAUAUUAAUUAUUUAUAGUGUUUUUAUAUUUUAAGUAUAUUUGUACUUUUGCCCACUAUUUUAUGACUCAUAAAAAUAUUUCUUUUAAGCAAAUGGGAUGAAGAUAGAUCUGCGACACCCUAAUUAUAUUAAAAUAUUUUUGUUUUUAAAAAAGAAGGCUAGGGGACAUAGUAACCCAGUUAAACCAAAAAGGUAACCAGCUAUAUGAUAAUACAAUACAUGACAAUCCAAUGGGUAAAUAAACAAAUUCGAAUUCAUAACUAGACUCACACAUCAUGUUGCACAAUCCAGUGAACCCGCAUUACGGGUACAAAACCAAUGUGUAAAAGAAAUGUGAUGUGUGAACUGACGAGUCUCGAAUCCCAAUUUUGAAGCCGGUAAGAAACUGAUCGCCAACACGAAAACAAAUCCACACGCCACCAACCCACUGCAUCUAACAUGACAACAACCAGCUUCAAAGGCCAUUUCUAGCCAUACAGAUCAUUGUUGACAAAGACGACAACACCCCCAUUUUCGGUGAGACCAUAUAUGAAAAAACGCAACUUCGAAGCAAUGUCGAGCUCAUAAUCAGAAUCAGACCGUGAAGGGAAAAUUCAACCACGAUUUGUAGGAUAACACAAAACCCGAUGGCAAUGGCGGCGAAAAACCCAACCACCGCAAAACAGAGGAGAUUCACGGCGGUUUCAAUAAACCAAGAAGAAAAACUUCAUCCGCAAAACAUGAGACAACCGCAUCAGACUAUCACUGUCUAGAAAUUAGAUUUGAGAGUAACAAUCCAUAGCAGGUGCUGACUGGUUUGAUGGAACCGAUCCUAAAAAAGGGGUUCUAGGAGGUGGUCAAAGAAUCACACCACAACCUCUUUGAUGCGUGAGGUUACAUUGUGAAGGGAAUGUUUGGAUUUGGUAGGAUGAGCAAAGAAGGAGGGUGGAGGAGAAGGAAGGCGGCUCUCACAAAAAUAGUUAUAUCUUUUUAAAAUUUAACUUUUUUUGUCCUAAUAAACGGUGAUUUAUUUUUUCAAUUUUAAAUAUGAGGAUAGAGUACCGCAUAAUGUCAAAAUUUUGAAAUGAAAUUAAACUAAAAAAAUUAAAUAAUAUCUGAAAACCUAAUUAUGUGUAAACUCUGUUAAUUUUUUUAAAUAAAAUGAAUCCCGUGCUUGGCACGGGAAGUUACACUAGUAAAAAACAUAGCAAAGAAGGAUAACUGAAUAAUACUUUCAUAAAAUAGUACUCUACAAUUUUAUGUUUCAAGUAGAUCUGGAGAAGUUCAUAAACUGACAUAAUCUAAAAAAUCAUGCUACUCAUAAUCAAAAGAGACAUGACAACAAGAUUAAGAAAUUACACAUGAAUACACGAUGACAAAUUUGCGUCAAUGUUGUUUUCAAGUUUAAUAUUCAACCUUGACCUCAUAGAAAUCGAGUUUCUCACGUUUCUACAAAACAUUUUUCGACCCUUGGUUAUGAAGUUGUCGCUCCUUUAUAUUGAAAAACAAAAUAUAAUUUUUUGAAUGCCAUAAGAAGUCACUUGAUAGAUGUUGUAAAAAUCAUAGCACGACUACAGACUUGUCUGGUUAGUACGAAUUCAAUAUGUUUUAGAGCUCUUCAAAGUGACUUAUGAGUAAUAUGACAAUUUCUUCAACUUGUUCCUCAACUGAACUAAAACAUUCCUAAAAUUGACUCAAAUGACUCCAAAAAGACACAAAACUUUGAUAUAAUUUGGAGUCAUCAAUACAUUUUGAAUGUACUUAAUGUUAAAACACUUUCAUAAAGCAAAUUCUAUGGUACAUUCAAUAAAUUUGGGUGUAUCGGUACACCAAUUCAUUAAAUUAAUAAUAAAUUAGUUGUUUUUUUAAGAAAAAUAAUUAUUUUCUACCAUUGACAACUAUAAUAAUUAAAUUUUAUUUACCAAAAGCUUCGACGAAAUAAAAUUUAAUUUUUACAAAUUUUUACUACUCAUAACAAUGAAUAUUGAUUAUUUUUUAUGACAAAAUGUAAAUUUUUUAAUAUCAUCCUUAUAAACAAUGAAAUGAUGUUUUUUCUUAUGAUAUGACGUUUUCUAAAAUAUAAAUAUUGACAAAUAACUUUUUAUUUCAUAAAAAUGAUUGUUAAUUUAUAAGUUUUGUGAAACAAGAGUACCGGUACACUAAAAUUUCUUAGUGUACCGUAGAAGUUCCCCUUUCAUAAACCAUUUUCAAAAUAAUUGAAAACGACUAAAAAAUUUCUCCCUGUUAUUUUUAUGAAUUUUUUUUUCCAUAUUUUCUCUGUUUUUACAAUAUUCUUCCAAAAAGUAUUCAAUUAUUUUUCUCAAAAUUAAACCAAAAUAUAACUUUUAACAUAAAAUCCUCCCCACGGCUAAAUCAAUGCAAAAAGUUCCAAUAUUCUCGAAACGCAAUGAAACUAAGUUUUCUUCAACAUCACAACACUUAAUCAUUUUUAUUCUCAAAAUAAUUUUAAAUCUCAAUAGACAUAAAGUUGUAAGAUUAUCAUUUAACAGAAAACUUUUGUUUACCUACAAUUUAAACCAUAUACCUUUUUUUUUUUUUUUAAAAAUAAAAUAAAAUAAAAUUCUAACUCAAUGAAUUUGUAUCCAAAUAGCAUGAACCAUAUGUCCAUUUCGAAAGUUUCGACAAGACAAACUCACACUAGUCAUCUGAGAUCCACAAGGAAUAGUAAGGAAAAUGACUAUUUUUCCCUUAAAAAGUUCUGCCAUAAAUAAAAUAUCAUCAACAUGAUUUCUUUAAAAAAUACUCUAUCAAAAAACAAUAAAUCUAUUACCCAAAAGUUCAUUCAAGCCAAGAAAAUGAUUUUUUUUUUAUUUUUAUACUUCAUUAAAACUUAAACAUUUUACAAGAAAUCAAUUUGUUCAAAAUCAAAUUUUUCUUUGAGAUCUAAAAUCAAUUUAUUUUUUUUAUACUUCAUUAAAACUUAAAAAGUGCAAUGAGUUCUGAGUUCGUUUUCUCUGCUCUGAGUGACCAAAACCUUCAAGCCACCAAUAAACCACCCGAUCCUUACAAGCCAUCUUCCCCAAAGAUCUCUUUCCGAGACAAACUCCUAGGACCAUCUCAAGAACCAAUGCUACGUGAAAAGGAAGACAUGAUCGAGAAAAAUCUUGUUCGCAUUGAACAUGAGAAUGGUAACCGACUCCUUCCUAAAGUUUACCUUGAACCAUCUGUCUUCCAAGAAUUAUGCACGCCAUGGAAGGACGCUAUUGUUGUCAAGUUGCUGGGGAAAAACCUCGGCUACCAUACCAUGAAAGAAAGGCUACAACGAACAUGGAAACCACAAGGGGGUUUCGAAAUCAUGGACAACGAUAACGGUUUCUACAUGGUGAAAUUUGAUCAAGCGGCAAACAAAGAGAAAGUCAUCACGGGAGGUCCUUGGUUAAUAUUUGAUCACUGCCUUGCAGUCACACACUGGUCACCUGAAUUUGCAUCUCCAAACACCAAAGUUGACAAAACAAUUGUUUGGGUGAGAUUCCCAGGUCUGAACUUAGUAUACUAUGAUGAGAGUUUCUUGCUAGCCAUGGCUUCUGCUCUUGGCCGCCCCAUCAAGGUCGACACAAACACCCUGAAAAUUGAAAGAGGUAAGUUUGCCAGAGUCUGUGUGGAAAUUGAUCUAACUAUGCCGGUGGUAGGGAAAAUUUGGGUCAACGGACAUUGGUACAAAGUUCAGUACGAGAGUCUCCACCUAAUUUGCACCAACUGCGGAUGCUAUGGUCACUUGGGAAGAAACUGCUCAUCAACACGCCACCUCCAGCCGUCCACCUCCAGCGAACCAACACCUUCAGCCGUCCAUCAACCAGCCGUUGUUAGCCAACAAACUCGGUCAACACCCACCUCCGAUGAGCAUUUAAUUCAAAACGUCCAAAAAGGUACAACCGUUACUAUUUCGUCUAAGGAUUCAUUACCAAAUGAUGACCAAUUAAAUGCCAUUGACGGAGAUAAUCAUGUGCUACAUGGGGAAUGGUCACUUGUCACUAGAAAAAAGAAACCAACAAAAAACAUCAUCAUAAAUCCCCAAAAAACCGUUACAACAAAAAAUAACAGGUUCAAUGCCCUUAAUCAUCUAACAACUAGAAACAAAACUGGCCUACCCCUUCCAAAUAACCAGUCACGCCCCAUUAUUGUCCAGAGAUGCAUCCUUCAAGUGCCCAAAGACACGAAACAUCGUAGACAUGACACCAUGGCCACUGAUGAACCAGUCUUUGACUUCUCCCAAGUCAACCCUUUAGUGUUGUCGCCCCCACACAGCCACAAGACCACACCUGAACCGCACGUGCCAAAAACAACCCAACAGUUACCAACUAAACAAACUACCACAAAUGAAGUUCAAGAAAAUGAUCCCACCUUAGUCAAUAAUCCAACACCUGAACCCGACCCUAAUUCAAGUUUCAUGCUCGCCACCCCCAUUCCAAAUGACCAAGAAGCUAACCACCCCACAAAAGACCAAAUUGGUGAAACUAGCUAUCAUAAGGAUGAUGUUCAUCAGAACCUGGAUACUCAAGAAACUCAAGAUGAGGAAAUGGUCACGUAGCACCUUUCUUCUCUUGUUCUUUUCUGAUUACGUUGUUAUGGAAGCUCUCCUUGAUAUCACCAUCCUCUCUUGGAAUAUUAGAGGGGCUCAAAAUAACAAUGGAAGAAGAAACCUAAAAGAAUUGAUGAGAAAACACAACCCAACCUUCAUAGCAAUUUAUGAAACUCAUGUCCCUUAUCAUAGACUAUCCACCUUCUGGGCUAACACUGAUUAUACCCCCGUUCACAUCAUAGAAGCUAAUGGACAUUCCGGAGGUAUAUGGCUUCUAAAACACUCAGCUACAAACAUCUUAACAACUAUCACUAACUCCAACCCCCACUCCAUUUCCUUCACUAUCAACCGCGGCCAUGCUUCCUCUUUUUGCACUUGCAUCUAUGCAAGCCCUAACCCAACUCAACACCCCAUCCUUUGGAAUCAUUUAAUUAACCUCAACCACUCCAUUGAUGCGCCCUGGAUGAUCAUAGGAGAUUUCAACGAAACUCUCCUACCUAGUGAGCAAAGAGGUGGCGUCUUCCACCAUAGCCGAGCUGCUUCAUUCUCAAACUUCAUGAAUUCUUGCAACCUCCUUGAUCUCACAACCACCGGUGGAAAGUUUACUUGGCAUAGAAACAGUAACGGCAUCCGCAUUCUCUCCAAAAAGCUUGAUAGAGGAUUGGCUAAUGUUAACUGGCGCUUGAACUUCCCGGAAGCCUUCGUCGAGGUUCUUUGUAGGCUCCAUUCCGACCACAAUCCUCUUCUCCUACGUUUUGGAGGCCUUCCUUUAUCUAGAGGUGAGCGGCCUUUUCGCUUUGAGGCAGCUUGGAUCGAUCAUGGUGAAUACGAGAGCUUGGUAAAAAAUUCUUGGCAACCACGCACCCAUAACAUCAUCUCGGCCUUGAAUAAUGUCAAAGAGAAUUCCGUCAACUUCAAUCAUGAAAUCUUUGGAAACAUCUUCCAAAGGAAAAAGCAUAUUGAAAACCGACUCAAAGGAAUUCAAAAUUAUCUUGAAAGGGUUGAUUCCAUCCAGCACUCCCACCUUGAGAAAGAACUCCAAAAGGAAUAUAAUCAUAUUCUAUUCCAAGAAGAAAUGCUUUGGUAUCAAAAAUCAAGAGAAAAAUGGGUGAAAUUUGGAGAUAAAAACACUGCUUUCUUCCACACUCAAACCAUAGUUAGAAGAAAGAGAAAUCGAGUACAUAGACUUCAGCUCCCCUGUGGUACUUGGUCUUCCGAUAGUGAUACUCUCCAACAAGAAGCACAAAAUUACUUCAAGCUCUUCUUCACGGCUAGCCAAGACAAUCGUGACCGAACUUUCACUGAAGGUACCCACCUUUCCAUUACUGAAGAGGGGAGAAAUUCCCUAACCGCCCCAAUCACCAAAAAUGAAGUUUAUGCUGCCCUUAACUCCAUGAAACCCUACAAAGCCCCUGGUCCGGAUGGUUUCCAUUGCAUCUUCUUCAAGCAGUACUGGCACAUUGUUGGCAAUGACAUUUACCACAUGGUCCAAACCGCUUUCCAAACAGGUCACUUUGAUCCAGAGAUUUCAAACACUCUCAUUGCACUAAUCCCAAAAAUUGACCCACCCACCACUUACAAAGACUUCAGACCUAUUACCCUUUGUAAUAUUACUUACAAAAUUAUUACAAAGGUCCUGGUUCACAGGCUUCGGCCUAUUCUUACUAACAUUAUUGGUCCCUAUCAAAGCAGCUUUCUGCCUGGUAGGGGCACUGCAGAUAACUCUAUUGUUUUGCAGGAAAUUAUUCAUUUCAUGAAACACUCUAAAAGGAAGAAGGGUUACGUAGCUUACAAGCUUGACUUGGAGAAAGCUUUCGACAACGUCAACUGGGAUUUUCUAAGCAACUGCCUCCAUGAUUUUGGAUUUCCGAACAUCACCAUCAAGCUCAUCAUGCAUUGCGUAGCUUCUCCUAGUUACUCUAUACUUUGGAACGGGAAAGGGUUGCCGCCUUUCGAGCCUUCUCAUGGCCUGCGACAAGGUGAUCCGUUGUCCCCUUAUCUUUUCAUCCUUUGCAUGGAAAAGCUUUCAGCUGCUAUCAACUCAGCAGUCGCCCAAGGAAGAUGGGCACCCAUCCAAAUCACCCCUACGGGGCCGCAUUUAUCCCAUCUCCUAUUUGCAGAUGAUGUCCUUCUUUUUUCUAAGGCUAAGACCUCUCAGGUUCAUCUUAUUCAUGAUUUGUUUGAAAGAUUCAGUCAAGCCUCGGGGCUAAGAAUCAACAUUGCUAAAUCAAGGGCAUUUUACUCGUCAGGCACUCCUCAUGGUAAAAUCACUAGCCUCACUACAAUAUCCGGAAUCCAAAGCACAUCCUCACUUGGCAAGUAUUUGGGUUUCCCUAUGCUCCAUGGACGUCCUAAGAAGAGUGAUUUCAACUUCAUCAUUGAAAAAAUGAAAUCGCGCUUGGCAACUUGGAAGAAUAGGCUUCUAAAUAAAACAGGUAGACUUACUUUAGCAACAUCUGUUUUAUCCUCCAUACCCACCUACUAUAUGCAGAUUAAUUGGCUUCCUCAGAGUAUUUGUGAUAGUAUUGAUCAGACAACCAGAAAUUUCUUUUGGAAAGACACUAACAACAAAGGAGUUAACUUGGUAAAUUGGAAGAAAUUAACUACCCCAAAACAAUCUGGAGGUUUGAGAAUCAGGAGAGCUAGAGAAGCCAACACUUGUCUCCUUGGAAAACUUGUAUGGGACAUGGUUCAAUCAACAAACAAAUUAUGGGUAAACAUUCUUUCCAACAAAUAUACCACAGGGUCAAACAUCCUUCAAGCCACCUGCAGUAGCAACAGUUCACCCACUUGGUCUUCCAUCAUCAAAGCAAAAAAUGUCCUCCGUAAUGGUUAUCUAUGGCGCGCUGGUUCAGGUACCUCCUCCUUUUGGUUCCAUAAUUGGAGCCCCCAUGGACUGAUUGGCUCACACGUUCCCAUCAUUGACAUCCACGAUAUUCAACUCACGGUUAAAGAUGUUUUCACACAUAACGGUCAACACACUCAUGCUCUCUACACUAAUCUGCCUCCAGCAAUUGCAUAUUACAUUAAUAACACCAACUUCAGAUUCAAUGAAAGAAUAGAAGAUACCAUCAUAUGGAGCCACAAUAUCAACGGGGUAUACACAGCAAACUGCGGCUAUGCUUGGCUACUUCGCAACUCGGAUACUGACACCAAUCCGCUUUCUACCCACUCUUGGUCUUGGAUAUGGAAGCUAAAGUCCCCUGAAAAAUUCAAACUGUUCAUUUGGUUAGCUUGCCAUAACGCCAUCCCGACUAUGUCUCUUCUCGAACACCGUCAUAUGGCCCCCUCUUCCACCUGUUCCAGAUGUGGAGAAGACGAAGAAACCAUUAUGCAUUGCCUUCGGGAUUGUCGUUUCUCCUCCAUUAUUUGGCACCGGCUCGGUUUCACGGAUACCGCUUUUUUCAACGAAGCUUUUCCAUCAAGCUGGAUCAAACAACACGCUACCGGUAACAACUCUUCCCUUUUCCUUUCCGGUCUCUGGUGGUCCUGGCGAAACCGCAAUUUAAUGUGCCUUAGCAAUGAGUCUUGGUCUACCCAUCGGAUCAUGUUGAACAUCCACAACUCAAUCUCUGCUAUUAAUGCUUCAUAUCAAGCCGCAACGGCCCAGUCCUCACAAACUCUGGUUCGUUGGAACAAUAGCAAUUUCUCUGGUGUCGUGUUAAAUGUGGAUGGCAGCUGCUUGGGAGCUCCAAUCCGAGCCGGUUACGGAGGUAUUUUACGAAACUCAGCUGGUUUUUUCCUUCAAGGUUUCUCCGGUUUUAUUGAAGCAACAACGGACAUUUUGUUCGCUGAACUUACGGCAAUUCACAAAGGGUUACUCAUGGCAGCCGAAAAUGGAAUUGAAGAGAUGAUCUGUUACACAGAUUCGCUGCUUUCAGUCAAGCUCCUCACAAACAGUAGCUCCCGCUUCCAUGCUUAUGCUGUUUUAAUUCAAGACUUGCUAUUAUCAACAAACUUCUCCAUACAACAUUGUCAUAGAGAAGGAAACCAAUGUGCAGAUUUCAUGGCAAAGCUUGAUGCAAUUUCAAACGAAGAGUUUGCAAGACAUACAACCCCACCUUAUGAUCUCAUUCCUUUGAUUAGAUUAGACGCCAUGGGAACUGCGUUUCCUAGAGCUUAGGCGUGUUUUUACCUUUUUCUUUCCUAUCUUGUUUUUUCUUUUCUUAGCUUUGUAACCAAAAAAAAAAAAUGUCAUGAACCAUGGAUCUAAAAUUCUAACCAAUAUAAUUUAAAAAAAUCACCAUCUAUAAAGGUUGCAGGCCUAUUGUCCAUUACCAAAAACAAAGCAAGGAAUUUUUUUUUCUUGCAUUAAUAAUUUAUGCUCAUGAAACAUAAUAUCAUAGUGAUUCAAAAUUCAAGACAAAAUAAAAUCUUUCAUGAAAAAAACAUCUUUAAGUUAUAAAAAAUUGUAUUUUCCAAAGUUGUCAAAAGUAAAACUUUUCCUGAGAUUCAUCCACUAGAGUGAUGUAUCAUAGUGACUCCCUCAUAUAGGCCUAUGUUCGGCCAAGGGAUAUCUAAGGGAAAAUAAAUUUUCUCUGUCAUCAACAUUUACAUGGUAAUAGAGAGAAGAAGAAAUCUAGGAGGGUUUAUUCACAAACCAUUGAAUGAUUUAGCUCUUAAAUUUUUUUUUAACUUGGUCAUUAACGUCUACAAGAAUUUCUGUUAAUCAUAGCAGUUCUACGGUUAGCAGACAAUUUACAAGCACAGAAUAAAUAUUUCACAAAAGAUAUCAUGUUUUGCAUACAUCAUAAAAAUCAUAUUCGGAAAUAACACGUCAUAAAUAUUAGGCUUAAUUGCACUUUUGGAACCCUACCUUUCCAAAAGUUGCGGUUAUGAACCCCUAACUAAUUUAAAUACAAAAUAGCCCCCUAUGUUUUGGACCCCCAAGGCAAAAAAAAAAAAAAAUUUACAUGUGGCACCUCACUUAGGGUGCCACGUCAGCGUUGACCGAGUCAACAAUGGACCGGGGGUCCAAAACUGUCAAAGAAUCAAAACAUAGGGGGUUGUUUUGUAUUUAAAUUAGUUAGGGAUCCAUAACCGUAAUUUUGGAAAGAUAUGGGUCCAAAAGUGCAAUUAAGCCUAAAUAUUAAACAAGUAGAAACUUAGGUUCCCAACAAUUUCUAGGCUUGGCAGUCUAAAAAUCUUAAUACUAACUAGGGCUAAACUAUGGUUCAAAUAAAUAUAGGAAAGAAUAGGUAUCUCAGUCUUUUACAUAAAAGAAGAAGGACAUAAAACUUUUUCUUUAAAGAUUAGAGAUAUAUGAACAACCAUUUUAGACAACUUUUGAUACAACUUCUUUUUUCUCACUUUUUAUUGAUCAAAAAUAAUGGAGAGAGAAAAAGGAAGAGAGAGAAUAAAAACAUAACGUGAGUAUGAGAGAGAAAGUUGUCUAAAAAGUUGUCACAAAUUGGAUGUACAAAUAUCAUUUCUCAAUAAAUUUCACAGAAACUCUUUAGCUACAAAAGAGAGCAUGCAAAUAAAUUUAUACACAUAUCUAAAUAUAUUUUGAUAAGGGUGCACAUAAUUUCACAUACAAGUUAAGCUAAUUUUCUAAUCAUAGCAUAAUUAACACCACCAACAAUAAAAUAAAUUGGAAUAAAUACGCAUGCAUGCAUGCAUCAAUGUUGUAAACUUUAUUUGAGAAACAAAAACAAAAUUACUUCAAAAAUUAGUGUGCGAGAGGCCUUAUCUCAUCCUCACGCCAAAUAUCCUCAAAAACCCCAAAUGGUCCUCUUACUGGAGCAUUCCCAUUUCUGCACCUGAGGCACCUUCUUCUAUUACAAAACAUAAGCUUUUGUAGAUUGGAGAGACUCAAAUGGUUUCGCAAAUCACGAACGGUGUAUAGUUUAACUACACCUUCUACUCGAUCCUAGAUAAAACUGUGGCAAAUAUUUACCACCUCCAAUUUUUCAAAGCUGUUGAGUAUGUUGCAUAAACCUCUCAGGUUCAGGUUCGCCAUUAUCUUUCGAACACUCAAGAGCUUCAAAUUUGGAGUGUAUUGAACCAUAAGAUCUGCUUCACUUAUGCCGCUAGUAAAUUUCAGUUCAUAGAUCUUCAUGUAGUACUUACUAAUGGCAAUAAAAAUGCAACUCGGCUUGACCAUGGCGGUUAUGGUGAUGGAUUAAAGGCCUUCCCAUGAUUUCAUUGCAAUAUCUACUGCAUUCUUGGACUCAGAAAUAUGUGAUCAUGACAUCCAUGAGACGAUAUAGUGCCUCUUGAGCUUUAUAUUAAGAACUCAUAUUUUCACUACAAGAAAAUAUGUGAUCUGCUACGCCCAUUAUCACAGCUAAUUCACAGCUAAUUCCUAGCAAACGAGUUUAGCUAGUGAUAUACUACAUAAUACCUAUUGAUUCGGCCGAAGCAUGGAUUGAGAGACAAAUUUGCUAGGGAAGUAUAUCUUAGUAAAUCCGUAAUAAAAAGAAUUAAAUUCCUAGCAAAUAUAUACUUAAUCUAUCGAAAAUAAGUAUUCAAAAGGUAUUUUCCAUAGCAACAUAACUAUGACAUAUCUUAGCAAUUUCGCAAUAAAUCCGUAGCAACAUAACUAAGACUUGUCAUAGCAAAUUUGCAACAAUUCCAUAGCGACAUUACUAAAACUUAUCGUAGCAAAUCCAAAACAAAUCUAUAGCUAUAAUUUAACUAAUUUGCAACUAGAAUGUAGCAAUUUGGAAGUUUUCGUCCAAUUAUUUUAUUUUUUCUGUUUUUUUAAUUACCAUAUUAAUUUAACUAAUUUAUUACUAAAUAAUCAUGUAUAUACAUAUGUAAAUAUAACAAGUCAAAUUUGCUGAAAAUGCAAAGCUAAAAUAUCACCCUGAUUUUCAUAAGGGUUUGGGGUCAACUCCGUAUUUCCAAGUUGUCGACAUUUAAAUGUGUUAAUACAACAACUAAUUUUUUUUUUUUUUUUUGUAGGAAUACAACAACUAAGCUAUAUAACAAAAAGAAAAACGUAAAAGUGUUUUGUCAUUUCUCUAUAUCUAUAUGUUCGAGACUUUGAGAACGAAAAAUAUUCUAUCUUAACAUGUUUUUAAUUUGACUUAAGUAUAUAAUAUGUGAAAGAGAAAUGCUAACUUGUGUCCCAAGGGCACAAGUUUACAUGAUCCUAUGUAAAAUAUUAACCAAAUAAUAUAACAUGUGUGACCGACUUGAAUAUAAGAGUAUAUAAUACGUAAAAUAUUAACAGAAAAAAUAUAACAUGUGUGACCGAGUUGAAAAUAAGAGUAAUGAUUUUACUUAGUCUUACUCAAAUUGAUCGAGCAGAAGUCUUAGUUUUAUAAUUAGUGAAAAAAAACUUAGUUUUAUAAUUCACGUUUGCACCAUAUAGUUUCAAUUAUUCAUAGGGUGAACACUGCUAGAAAAAGUAAAAUUAGCGAGGGAAAUUAGUGACGGAAAAAUGAAAUUCCUCACAAAUUUCAUGGCCGUAAAAUUUAGUGACGGAAUUAGAGAAUGAUUUCACGUUUUCUCUCACAAAAUUUCUCUCACUAAUUUUUGUUUUUUUAGUAGUGAAAUUACACUGACCUCCCCUGAGGUUUCCUUAAAUAACACAAACACCCUCUCUAGUUUUAUAAUAGGGAAAAUGCUAAAAGUUACGAAUGAUUUGUGCACGAAACCACACGAACAUCAUUGCAACUUACAUUUUACAUUCUGUUUCUCAUCAAUUCUUCCAAUGAUGAGAGAUAAUUCAUAAGUAACAUGAUAGAAAAUAAUCUUUGAUCAAUAACCACUGAAAAAAUCAAAUCCAUAAUGUGGAAAUACAUGGUUAGCUGAUCCAUUUAUUGAAGAGUGAAAUCAAAAGUUAGUUUAAAUUGUUUGGGAAAAAAACAAUUACUAAUAUGGUGAACUCAAGCAAAUUAUAAUGAUUUCUCAUGUAACUGAAUUUAUAUGGUGAAAUUUUAUUACUACAAGGUAGCAACCAUGCGUGGAACAGUUGUUUUCCUGGCGUUCGUGCAUUUCGUGCUGCAACAUUUUCGUAACAUAUAGCAUUACUCUUAUAAUAGACAGAUACAUCCCUUUACAACUUAACACAAACACCCCCUCUAGUUUCCUUAAAUAACACAAACAUCGUUACUCAUCCGUUAAAAGUAAAGUCACUGCUACUUUUCGAUUUAACACUAACCUCCCUAGAGGUUUCCUUAAAUAACACAAACACCGUUACUCAUCCGUUAAAUAACACUAACCUCCCCUGAGGUUUUCUUAAAUAACACAAACACCCCCUCUAGUUUUAUAAUAGACAUUAACCUCCUCCAAAGUUUCAUAAUUAAACAGAUACAUCCCUUUACAACUUAACACUGUUACUCAUCCGUUAUGUGAGAGUUAACUUAAAAUCAGAUUUCUGCAGAAUCGUGGCACGAUGGCAAGGCAACGUGGCACGGUGGAGGUUUCAGUUUUUUGAGGCAUGGCACUGGAAAAAUCAGAUUUAAGCGAAACUUUUACUAUAAAUAUAGACCUUGUAUUAGAGCAAAUUUUGAGAUAGAGGGAGAUGAAACAAGGGUUUAGAAAGGCAACAACAAAACUAGGGUUUGUAUAGAGUUUGUCUCUUCGGAACAAACACUAAGUUUUGAGGGUUGAUUCACCUUGGGAAACACUAUUAGGAUUGAGUCUCUUGGUCACGGGAAGAGACUAGGACUUUGGGUAGAAUUAGGCGGGAGACUUAUUCUUGUAACCCAUUGAUUUCUCUUUGUAACGAUUCUCAUCAUAUAGUGGAUCGGAGGGUUGUUCUCUCCCCCACACUAGAUCAAUUUGGACCGAACUGGGUCAACAAAUUCUUUUUUGUUCUUCUCUUCUUUGUGUUCUUCUCGCCGUUGUUUUCUACUUUUGGCUUGUAUUUAAUUGUUCCAUACACCUUGAUUUUGGUUACUUGAUUAUCUCUUGCUCCACACAUCAAGUUGUUAUUGGUGUGAUUUUCAUCGAAUUCGCAACAAUUGGCACCCACCGUGGGGCAAGGGUCAAAGGAUAAUCAAGUAUCAUGGGUUCAAAGUGGGAUAUUGAGAAUUUUACCGGAGAUAACUGUAACACCCCGUUACCCAAAAGUAAUUAAAUAACAGAUAUUAAUCAGAGUUAAACACCAAUCGGGUAUGCUACAUUGCAAAUUCAAAAUUCCUUAAAUAGAAAAUAAAACUAUUCAAUUCAACAUGUUUAAUAACUUCAAAAUCAUGCAGCGGAAAGUUUGCAUUUCAAUAACAACAACAAACUGUUUAAGUCUCCAAUGACAUCUUGGCAUUAAGCCUAAUCAACAAUAAGUCAACCAACAAGGGCCACAUCAACAAGUUCCAAAAUUUGAUACAUGGAAAGGAAAACAACAAUACUAUAAUAUAAUAAUUCCCAUCCCACGUAUCAGAGCCCUAGACACGACUCUUGAGCCACCGCCGACUGCUCAGGAUCACCUGCAAGUUACCCAUAGGAAGGGCAACAUUUUCAAGCAGAAGGGGUGAGAUUCACAACAAAUAAUAUAGAUAUCAAAAUCUUCAAUUGAAUCUAACACCCUAACAUCAAAUACAUCAUCAUGCAAGUAUAACCAUAUAAUUUACAAGCAACAACAACCAUCAUCAAAAUCCACACAUCACAAUAUGUAUAUAAAUAUUUACAUAUAUUCAUCAAUAACAUCAACAACAUCAAGUGGCGUCUACAACCAACAAAUAAGAAUCAUGCAAUGGACAUGACAACACUGCUAAGACAACACCUUAGACUUCUCAAUAGAUGCAAAUAUGCAUGUGGUACCAAACAGGACCGAAGCCCUCACCGCUUUUGAAUGGUUAAAGCAUUCAUCAGGAUCGAAGCCCUCACCGCUUUUGAGCAACUAGUACUCCAGGACAUGAGUCAUCUCCGCUGUUUUAUGCAUAUGCAAUGGACCUACUUGUGUAUAUCUACAUACAACUGACCAUGCAAUGCAAACUCCAUGUAACACCACUUAAACAACAUGUAUGAUUCAAUAAUUAGCAUACAUUUUAGUCAUCAUCAGUAAUCAUCAAUUCAACAAUUCAAUCAUCCAAAAUAAUGCAUAAUUACAUGAAAUUAUGCUCAACGCUUCAACAUUAAAUCACUACCAUUCAUGCAAGCAAAACAGCACUCAGGAACUGUGCAACUCGCCUCGCGAGCACAUCUACUCGCUAUGGCGAGUUCACAAAACUACUUGCUCGCCAUGGCGAGUUCAUGGCGAACUCGAGGCGAGUGAAAAUUAGGUGCUCUCGGGAAAAAUGACAUUUUCUCACUCAAACCUCAAUUCUAAGCUCCCUAUUCAUCUUUUUAACCUAAAACUUGUUCCCGUCAUCAUUAAUAUCAUCUAGGUACCUUAAACCAUCCCCAAAACAGCUUAUAACAACUUUUCAAAAAUCAAGUUUUGAUCUGGGCUACUCGCCAUGGCGAGUUGGUCUGCUCGCGAGGCGAGCUAUGAAGUUGCUCACUCGCCAUGGCGAGCAAGGCUACUCGCGAGGCGAGCGAUGAACUUCUGUACGGGCAGAUAACAGUUUUUCCCAAAAAUCCCAUUUUCUUCCAAUCACUCCCCAAAUUAGUUUACAGAUGAAAAAUGAAUGUUUAUAUACAACCAGAACCCAAUUCUAACAUCAGAACAACAAUAUCUACCCCAAAAACCAUUAAUUCAAUUUAUACCCAAUUCCUCAAUUUCACUCCAAAACCUGUUAAACUCAAAAUCAGAAUUUAAAAUCUACACUAUUGAAGUAAACCUCACCCUUACCUUAAAUUUGCAGCAAAAAUGCACAGCAAAAAUCAACUCUUGGUUCUUCCUUGGUUCUCUCUUGCUUUCUCCCAAAACUGGUUCUACGUGAAACUGGUUUUCUAACUUCUCUGUAUUAACUUCUCACUUAAUGUAACUCCCUUCUAUUUCAUUUAACUCCCUUUAGUUAUAUUAAAUAUUAAAUAACCCCCAAAACUCCAAAAUAACUAAUAUUUCAUACUUAUUCUAAUUAUUAUUAAAUAAACCAUAUAAUAAAAAAAUACACCACAUAAAUCACCCAAAAAUCACACACACAUAUAUAUAUAUAUAUAUAUAUAUAUACACACACAUAUAUAUAUAUAUAUAUAUAUAUAUAUAUAUAUAUAUAUAUAUAUAUAUAUAUAUAUAUAUAUAUAUAUAUAUAUAUAUAUAUAUAUAUAUAUACUCCACAUAAAUCAAAAUAAUUAAAUAUAACAACUAGGGCGUUACAACUCUCCCCAAAUUACAGAAUUUCAUCCUCGAAAUCUUACCUCAAGCAAACAACUCCGGAUACGACUCCCGCAUCUUACUCUCCAGCUCCCAAGUCAAACUUUCACCAGUCGCUCCACCCCAAACGACUCUCACAAGAGGUAUCUCCUUACCUCUCAAAGACUUCACCUUUCUAUUAUCAAUCCUCAAUGGCAUAGUCUCAACUGUCAAGUUGUCUCUAACCUGUACAUCAUCCCUUGGAAUCACAUGCGAAGGAUCCGCCACAUACUUCCGAAGCUGAGAAACAUGAAACACAUCGUGCAAGUUCGAAAGAUGUGGUGGCAAACCAACUCUAUAUGCCACUGUACCAACUCUCUCUGAAAUCUGAUAUGGACCAAUGAACUUAGGAGUCAACUUUCUCGACUUCAAAGCACGUCCAACACCCGUCAAAGGAGUGACCCUCAGAAAAACAUGAUCACCCUCUUGAAACUCAAGAUCCUUCCUUCGCUUGUCAUGGUAACUCUUCUGUCGACUCUGCGAAGCUUUCAUCUUUUCCCUUAUCAUUCUGACCUUCUCAGUAGUCUCAUGAACCAAGUCCGGUCCCAACACAACACUCUCACCCGACUCAAACCAGCAUAAAGGAGUCCUACACCUCCAACCAUACAAGGCUUCGAACGGUGCCAUACCAAUACUCGAGUGAUAGCUGUUGUUAUAAGUGAACUCAAUCAAUGGAAGGUGACUAUCCGAAGCUCCACCCUGCUCAAGCACACACACCCUCAACAAAUCUUCCAAUGAUUGAAUCGUCCUCUCCGACUGACCAUCUGUUUGAGGAUGAUAAGCCGAACUCAACCUCAACUUCGAACCCAAGGCGUCCUGUAGACUCUUCCAGAACCUAGAAGUGAACCUCGGAUCCCUAUCCGACACAAUACUCGACGGUACACCAUGAAGCUUCACCACACUGUGAAUGUAAAUCUCUGCCAACUGUGCUACCGAGUAACUGAUAUUAAUAGGAAUGAAAUGUGCCGACUUCGUCAACCGGUCGACAAUAACCCAAAUAGCGUCAUGCCCUCUCGGAGUGUUCGGUAAACUCGUUACAAAAUCCAUAGAGAUAAUGUCCCACUUCCAGUCCGGUACAUCCAACGGUGUCAACAACCCUGCAGGCUUCUGAUGCUCAACCUUGGACUUCUGACAAAUCAAACAGGCAUAAACAAACUGAGCAACAUCUCUUUUCAAACCGGACCACCAAAACAGUUUCUUCAGAUCAUGGUACAUUUUUGUAGCCCCCGGGUGAAUACUCAACCUACUCUUGUGACUCUCUUCAAGAAUCAACUUCUUCAAAUCAUCAUUGUCAGGAAUACAAACUCUUCCUCUGAACCUCAGCACACCCUGAUCAUCAACCUUAAAAUCACUGUCCUCGGUGUCACUACCAGUCGUCAUCCAAUCAACCAAUUUCACAUCCGCUUUCUGAGCUUCUCGGAUACUGUUCAAGAAAUUACUAUCAAUCUUCAGCAUCCCCAACUGAAUACUCUGAGGUGACAAUUCACAGACCAAACUCAAGUCUCUAAACUAUUCUAACAAUUCAAAUUCUUUCGCCAUCAAAGCAGACAUGUGCAAAGUUUUCCUGCUCAAAGCAUCAGCAACUACAUUGGCCUUACCAGGGUGGUAAUUCAAGCCAAAAUCAUAAUCCUUCAACAGCUCUAACCAUCUUCUCUGCCUCAUGUUCAGAACCUUCUGGUCAAAUAAAUACUUCAAACUUUUAUGAUCAUUGAACACCUCAGAUCUGGAACCGUACAAAUAAUGUCUCCAAAUUUCCAAAACAAAAACCACCACAGCCAAUUCCAGAUCAUGUGUAGGAUAAUUCUUCUCAUGAACACGCAAUUGCCGAGAAGCAUAUGCUACCACCUUACCAUCUUGCAUCAGAACACCACCUAAGCCCAGCUUAGAUGCAUCACAGUACACAACAAACGGUUCUUCUAGUUUAGGCAAAAUCAAAACAGGAGCAGUUGUCAAUCUUCGCUUCAACUCAUUGAAACUACUCUCACACUGAGCAUCCCACACAAAAGACUUACCCUUACAGGUCAACUGAGUCAACGGAAGAGCCAAUUUCGAAAACCCUUCUAUGAACCUGCGGUAAUAACCAGCCAAACCCAGAAAACUUCUGAUCUCUGUUACCGACUUCGGAGUCUCCCACUGUGAUACCGCAUCAACCUUUGAAGGAUCCACUGCAAUACCACUACCAGAAAUAAUGUGACCCAGAAAGCUCACUUCACUUAACCAGAACUCACAUUUUGACAACUUUGCAUACAAUCUCUUUUCCUUCAACACUUGCAAUACAAUUCUUAGAUGCUCUGCAUGCUCCUCUUCAUUCUUAGAAUAAAUUAAGAUAUCAUCAAUAAACACCACAACAAACUUAUCCAGAAAAGCAUGGAAGAUUCGGUUCAUGUACUCCAUGAACACACCAGGCGCGUUAGUAACACCGAAAGGCAUCACUUUGUACUCGUAAUGACCAUAACGUGUCCUAAAGGCCGUCUUCUGCAUAUCCUCAUCCUUCACCUUAAUCUGAUGGUAACCAGACCUCAAAUCAAUCUUACUAAAAAUCUUAGCACCAACCAACUGAUCCAUCAAAUCCUCAAUUCUCGGAAGCGGAUACCUGUUCUUUAUCGUAACCUUGUUCAACUGACGGUAAUCUAUGCACAGUCUCAUACUACCAUCCUUCUUCUUAACCAACAACACCGGUGCUCCCCAAGGUGAAACACUGGGUCUUACAAAUUUCUUAUCCAACAGGUCUUCCAACUGUUUCUUCAACUCAGCUAACUCAGAAGCUGACAUGCGGUAUGGUGCCAUCGACACCGGCUUCGUUCCUGGAACAAGGUCAAUUGAAAAUUCAACCUCCCUCUUUGGUGGCACAUCAGGAAUCUCAUCAGGAAAUACUUUUGGAAAUUCAUUCACUACAGGUAACCUAUCAAUCACAGCUUGAUUUUCUAACGACAAUUGUGCCAUUAGAGAAUACAUCAGAAUUCCAUCACGUUCAAACUGUUUCAUCUGUUUUGUAGACAAAAGUUCAACUUCACCUUCUUCUUCAGCAGAAGAAAAAUGCACCGUCUUACUAUAGCAGUUGAUAUGAACUCGGUUAUACUCUAACCAAUUCAUUCCAAAGAUCACAUCCAUACCCGUCAACGGCAGACAAACUAAAUCAACCACAAAAUCUCUACCAAACAUAAAUAUAGGACACCCCAGACAAACAAGAGAAGUAGUUACUGAACCCUUAGCUGGAGUUUCAACAACCAUUUCCCCUUUCAUAUCAGAUACAUCCAAACCCAACUUAUAAGCACAUUCAAUAGCAAUAAAACAAUGAGUAGCACCAGUAUCAAUAAUAGCAAUUAAAGGAGUACUAUUAAAGAAACCAGUACCUCUGAUAAGUCGGUCCUCAUUGGUAGUGGUAAUAACCAGCUCAAACCAAACACCUUCCCACCAGUUCUAACCUUCUUCGACUCAGGACACUAUGAACUAAUAUGACCUUCUCCAUUGCAGUUGUAGCAGACAAUGUCCCCACGCUUGCAUUCAGCUAGGCUGUGACCCUUCUAACCACACCUGAAGCACUUCCUCUCAUCUUUACCACAAACAUUACUCUUGUGGCAUUUCUCACCACACUUGUAACAAACAAUCUCAGCAGGAGCAUCUCUCCUCUUGGGCCUCCUGUCAUCACCCAUCUUCUGUUUUCCCUUGUCAGUAGGAGCACUGUAAGGCUUAGGACGAUUCUGAUGUCCCUUACCCCUCCUCUCACUCAUUAUCUUGUAAUGAGCUUUGGUGUCUUCUUCAUAAAUUCUACACCUGUUAACCAACUCAGAAAACACCAUGAUCUACUGAUACCCAAUGGCUCUUUUGAUGCCAGCCCUCAACCCAUUCUCAAAAUUGAUACACUUGGAGAACUCAGUUGUCUCCGCACUGUAAUGAGGGUAGAACGCAACAAGUUCCACAAACUUUGCAGCAUACUCCGUAACGGAUAUGUCACCCUGUUUCAACUCCAGAAACUCGAUCUCUUUCUUACCUCUGACAUCAUCUGGAAAAUACCUGCCCAGAAACUCCUUCCUGAACAUGGCCCAGGUUACCACAGCAUCAUCCUGUUCCAACACAGGCAACAGACUCACCCACCAAUCAUCAGCCUCCUCCGCUAACAUGUGCGUCCCAAACCGCACCUUCUGUGUCUCGGAACACUGCAUGACCCUAAAAAUUCUUUCAAUCUCCUUCAGCAAUUUCUGAGCACCGUUAGGAUCAUACCUACCCUUAAAUGUUGGUGGAUGAUUCCUCAAGAAAGUUUCCAGCAUUCUGGUUCCAUCAACCUUAGGUUGCUGUUGAACAGCUUGAGCUACAGCCUCAAGUGCAGCAACAAGGGCAGCAUCACUACUUUUAGUCAUCUCGAAGUUCUACACGAGAAACAACAACUCAGAACAACAACAAAAAGCAACAUUAAAGUUGACACUCUAUCCUAGGUGGCUCAACACGACUCUACUACUUGGUCGGACGGACCAACCUGCUCUGAUACCAAAUUGUAACACCCCGUUACCCAAAAGUAAUUAAAUAACAGAUAUUAAUCAGAGUUAAACACCAACCGGGUAAGCUACAUUGCAAAUUCAAAAUUCCUUAAAUAGAAAAUAAAACUAUUCAAUUCAACAUGUUUAAUAACUUCAAAAUCAUGCAGCGGAAAGUUUGCAUUUCAAUAACAACAACAAACUGUUUAAGUCUCCAACGACAUCUUGGCAUUAAGCCUAAUCAACAAUAAGUCAACCAACAAGGGCCACAUCAACAAGUUCCAAAAUUUGAUACAUGGAAAGGAAAACAACAAUACUAUAAUAUAAUAAUUCCAAUCCCACGUAUCAGAGCCCUAGACACGACUCUUGAGCCACCACCGACUACUCAGGAUCACCUGCAAGUUACCCAUAGGAAGGGCAACAUUUUCAAGCAGAAGGGGUGAGAUUCACAACAAAUAAUAUAGAUAUAAAAAUCUUCAAUUGAAUCUAACACCCUAACAUCAAAUACAUCAUCUUGCAAGUAUAACCAUAUAAUUCACAAGCAACAACAACCAUCAUCAAAAUCCACACAUCACAAUAUGUAUAUAAAUAUUUACAUAUAUUCAUCAAUAACAUCAACAACAUCAAGUGGCAUCUACAACCAACAAAUAAGACUCAUGCAAUGGACAUGACAACACUGCUAAGACAACACCUUAGACUUCUCAAUAGAUGCAAAUAUGCAUGUGGUACCAAACAGGACCGAAGCCCUCACCGCUUUUGAGCAACUAGUACUCCAGGACAUGAGUCAUCUCCGCUGUUUUAUGCAUAUGCAAUGGACCUACUUGUGUAUAUCUACAUACAACUGACCAUGCAAUGUCCAUGUGACACCACUUAAACAACAUGUAUGAUUCAAUAAUUAGCAUACAUUUCAGUCAUCAUCAGUAAUCAUCAAUUCAGCAAUCCAAUCAUCCAAAAUAAUGCAUAAUUACAUGAAACUAUGCUCAACACUUCAACAUUAAAUCACUACCAUUCAUGCAAGCAAAACAGCACUCAGGAACUGUGCAACUCGCCUCGCGAGCACAUCUACUCGCUAUGGCGAGUUCACAAAACUACUUGCUCGCCAUGGCGAGUUCAUGGCGAACUCGAGGCGAGUGAAAAUUAGGUGCUCUCGGGAAAAAUGACAUUUUCUCACUCAAACCUCAAUUCUAAGCUCCCUAUUCAUCUUUUUAACCUAAAACUUGUUCCCGUCAUCAUUAAUAUCAUCUAGGUACCUUAAACCAUCCCCAAAAUAGCUUAUAACAACUUUUCAAAAAUCAAGUUUUGAUCUGGGCUACUCGCCAUGGCGAGUUGGUCUGCUCGCGAGGCGAGCUAUGAAGUUGCUCACUCGCCAUGGCGAGCAAGGCUACUCGCGAGGCGAGCGAUGAAGUUCUGUACGGGCAGAAAACAGGUUUUUCCCAAAAAUCCCAUUUUUCUUCCAAUCACUCCCCAAAUUAGUUUACAGAUGAAAAAUGAAUGUUUAUAUACAACCAGAACCCAAUUCUAACAUCAGAACAACAAUAUCUACCCCAAAAACCAUUAAUUCAAUUUAUACCCAAUUCCUCAAUUUCACUCCAAAACCUGUUAAACUCAAAAUCAGAAUUUAAAAUCUACACUAUUGAAGUAAACCUCACCCUUACCUUAAAUUUGCAGUAGAAGUGCACAGAAAAAAUCAACUCUUGGUUCUUCCUUGGUUCUCUCUUGCUUUCUCCCAAAACUGGUUCUACGUGAAACUGGUUUUCUAACUUCUUUGUAUUAACUUUCCACUUAAUGUAACUCCCUUCUAUUUCAUUUAACUCCCUUUAGUUAUAUUAAAUAUUAAAUAACUCCCAAAACUCCAAAAUAACUAAUAUUUCAUACUUAUUCUAAUUAUUAUUAAAUAAACCAUAUAAUAAAAUAAUACACCACAUAAAUCACCCAAAAAUCACACAUAUAUAUAAAUAUAUAUAUACUCCACAUAAAUCAAAAUAAUUAAAUAUAACAACUAGGACGUUACAAUAACGAUUUUGGGUUAUGGAAGGUAAAGAUGGAAGCGGUGUUAAUACAGCAAAAGUGUGAGAAUGCUUUGAAGGGUGAAGGUUCGUUACCGGUCACCAUGUCACAAGCGGAGAAGACCAAGAUGGUGGACAAGGCCAGGAGUGCCAUUGUCUUGUGCCUCGGAGAUAAAGUUUUGAGAGAAGUAGCAAAGGAACAAACCGUGGCAUCGAUAUGGGCAAAGUUGGAAUCUUUGUAUAUGACAAAGUCUUUGGCUCAUCGUCAAUUCCUAAAGCAACAACUCUACUCAUUCAGGAUGGUAGAGUCAAAGGCCAUCAUGGAGCAACUUACGGAGUUCAACAAAAUCCUUGAAGACUUGGAGAAUAUUGAGGUGCAACUUGAGGAUGAGGAUAAAGCUAUACUCCUGUUGUGUGGUCUACUGAAAUCUUUUCAAUCGUUCAAAGAUACCAUGCUCUAUGGCAAGGAAGGCACUGUUACCUUGGAAGAAGUUCAAGCGGCUUUGAGAACCAAGGAAUUGACCAAGUCCAAGGACUUGACUCAUGAACACGGUGAAGGCCUAAGUGUCUCAAGAGGGAAUGGUGGAGGUAGAGGUAACCGGAGAAAGAGUGGUAACAAGUCAAGGUUUGAAUGCUUUAACUGUCACAAGAUGGGUCACUUCAAGAAGGAUUGUCCGGAGAUUAAUGGUAACUCCGCACAAAUUGUCUCAGAGGGUUAUGAGGAUGCGGGUGCUCUGAUGAUGUGGUGUUGUUUGGAGGAUGAAGAAGGUGAUGUGUCUCACCUUGGGAGUGAUGCCUAGUGGAGCGGUGGUCGUCUGGAGAGACGUUAAACACUCAACAUCAGCCUGGAGAGGCGGUGGUAAGAAUACUCAUGAUCUACCUGUCGAGGUGGAGUUUCAAGGUUGAAGACAUAGUGGGAUGUACACAUUUGCUAGUUGAGGUAGAGUACGCUCAGCGUGAGGUGGAGUUGAACACACCAGUAAUGGUACGGCUAUGAAGGACCUUGAGUGCUAUGCUCUAUCGUGAGCAAAGGAUUUCUUCAUGAAGUUGAAGAAUGUAUAGCACGGCUUGCGGAAUUACCCUAAAAGAAGGCCAAGGGUGAUUGGAUGCAAGGUGAUCUUUAAGGAAGCGGGAGAUGUUUUGCAUUGAAGAUGUUAUGGUGAAUGCUUGUGGGACUAACUAAAAUUCCUAGCGUAGUUGGGCUGCAAGGACCUUCGAGAAGGCGGAAGACAUUCCGAGGGCUGAAGGGGUUAAGGUGUAUACUUGUGAAUUACUCUAAAAGCCAAGGGUGAUUGGGUACAAGUAGAUCUUCAAGGAAAGCGGGAGAUGUCUCGUAUUGAAGAGGUUAUGGUAUAGUCUUGUAGAACUACCUGAAAUUCCUAGCGUAGUUGGACUACAAGGAUCUUCGAGAAGGCGGAAGACAUUCCGAUGGCUGAAGAGGUUAAGAGGUGUAAACUUGUGGAGCUACUUGGAGUAGUGGGAAGCAAGGGAAAGAGCAGCAAGGAUGUUGAUGAUUGGCAUCAUCACUGAUUUGAAGUCAAGGUGGAGAAUUGUGAGAGUUAACUUAAAAUCAGAUUUCUGCAGAAUCGCGGCAUGAUGGCAAGGCAACGUGGCACGAUGGAGGUUUCAGUUUUUUGAGGCAAGGCACUGGAAAAAUUGUGGCACGAUGGGGUCGCAUCGUGGCACGAUGGUGCGCUGGCGGCGAAUAACAGAAACAUAUUUUUGGGUGCAUAUUUGUUCCAAAUUUUAAGUGAAACUUUUAUUAUAAAUAUAGACCUUGUAUCAGAGCAAACUUUGAGAUAGAGGGGGCUGAAACAAGGGUUUAGAAAGGCAACAACAAAACUAGGGUUUGUAUAGAGUUUGUCUCUUCGGAACAAACACUAGGUUUUGAGGGUUGAUUCACCUUGGGAAACACUAUUAGGAUUGAGUCUCUUGGUUAUGGGAAGAGACUAGGACUUUGGGUAGAAUUAGGCGGGAGACUUAUUCUUGUAACCCAUUGAUUUCUCUUUGUAACGAUACUCAUCAGAUAGUGGAUCGGAGGACUACUCUCUCCCCCAGACUAGGUCAAUUUGGACCGAACUUGGUCAACAAAUUCUUUUGUGUUCUUCUCGCCGUUGUUUUCUACUUUUGGCUUGUAUUUAAUUGUUCCAUACACCUUGAUUUUGGUUACUUGAUUAUCUCUUGCUCCAGACAUCAAGUUGUUAUUGGUGUGAUUUUCAUCGAAUUCGCAACAUGUUAAAAGUAAAGUCCCUGCUACUUUUCGAUUUCUAAUUAUGAUAAUCUUCAUCUACUAAACCAUAUAAUAUCUACAAAAAGUUCUAAGCUUUUCUUCUCCAUUCUAGCAGCCAUUUUUUGUAACCUUUAAUCGAAAGGUUUGUUGGCUUUGAUUUAUUGUCACGUAUUUCUCCCAACAAAUCACAAAAAUUUCAACCAAUUAAAACUUGUGAUUACUCCAAAGGCAAAUGGGUUGGGACGAAACUUAAUAUUCAAAUAAAUUUUCCCAUGAAAAUUGUCCUUUAUUAUUAUCCUGGAUUCUGAUGCCAGCAAAACAAAUAGGACAAUAGAUAUCCACAAAAGUAUGAUGUACAAGAAUGGAGUCUAUCCAAUGGAGAAGAACCAAAGAGACAAACACGAGCUUCAUGUCUUCUGUGUGUCUUCCAUGGAGGAAUGAAUAUAUUGGGUUUGGAGGAGAUGAAAAGACAAUGUUAACAUGUGUUUUUUUGUUUGUUUUUUUUCCUUAAUAUAAUUUGACAGAAUUUAAUUAAACGGUGUUUAACACCAAGGGAGAUCAGUGCUAAGUAAGAAACUAGAGAGGAUGUAUGUGUCAUUUAUGGUGUGUUUGGUUCACAAGAGAAAUUGUGAAGAGAGAAAUAGGUGAGAGAGAGUUUGAGAAGAGGGAAAGAAGUGAGAAAUAUAGUAGAUUUAAAGUAUUGUUUGGUUUAAGAGAAAAAGAAGAGAAAUAGGGAAGAGAGAAACACAAUUGUUUUUUGAAUUGAUAAAUAAGCCCCUAUUUAAAAAUAUAUUUAUACUAAAGUUUUAUUGUCAAAUUUAAUUUAUUUUUCGUUAAACCUCUUAUUGUCGGUUUUUAAAAAGUAAGUAUAUUUAUUGUUAUCGUUGUUGAAUAACGAUUGUGAAUAUAAUAAUUUCCUUAAAAAAAAUUGUGGAAAAAAUAAUCAAAGAAACCUCGAAAUUGCUCGCCAUUAAUUAGCGAAUUUCACAGUAAAUAGAAUAAUCAACACGUUGUAGCUAGCUACCUGCAAUAUGAUAUUGCUUUAUAAUAUCAUCAUCACAUUCACUUUGUUGUGGAGCAAUGAAAGUUUGGGGAUAAGUCAAAUAAAAAUUAAAGCAUGUGUAAGAAAUGAAAGCAAGGGUAAAGCUGUAAUUAUCAGUAUAUGUUACCCCUCUCUCCAUUUUCUUCGCUGUCCAGCAGAGAAAUCAAAAAGGUGAUAUUUUAUCUCUCAUAUUUCUCUCUCUUUAACUUCUCUCCUCCACCAAACCGAAGAAAUUGAGCAUUUCUCUCCUAUCUCUCUCUUUGCUAACUCUCUCUUCACAAUUUUUCUUCAAACAAACAGACCCUUAGAGAAACUUUAGGGGAGGUCAGUAUAAUUUACUAUAAUCUACGGUACUCAAAGUAUCUAACCCUAAUAUUUCACGAACGAUCAAUCUUUUCUAAGUCAAUUGAUUUUUUUUAGUAUCUUGAUGAUUUAAUGAUCACAAUGUAAGGUUUAGAUUGUUAUUUUGGCAGGGGGGAUUAGGUUUUCGGAUUUUUAGGGUAAUUUUUUAGAAGGGUUCUUAUUAUUUUUCCGGAAAAUUGUGUUGAAGAUAUGAACGAAUGCGGAAAAAUGCUGAGUGUAAGGAAGACAAAAAGAACACAAGAGCAUUCACUACAAGAAAAUAGCAUUUUUGCUUCAAAUUUUAGCGUCGACUCCCGACACCGACGCUAAUAGCGUCUGCUUAGAGUCGGCUAGACUCACGCUACAUCAAUUAUAAUUUUUUCUUUAAUUUUGGUAAAAGAUAGAAUCAUCCAAGCCCAGGCUACAUGGUAAUGGACUUUUGCGAACAAAUUUAGAGUCUGAUAGGCCGACUCUACAAUUUUUUAUGAUAUAAAUUUAAUUUCUCAAAAAAUUAUUAUUACCUCUUUUUGACUAAAGUCAACAAAAAAAUUACACUAAAUAUAUUCCCAUACGUUUUUCCCUUUCUUUAUUUGCACUAAAAAAAAUUACACUAAAUAUUUUUUUUUAUUUUUUUUAUUUUUCACUCAUACUUACUCAACAAAAAGGAAAAUGCUAGAUAUCAAGAAUGAUUUUAUAAGAAAGAUUCAAGAAUGACAUGGCACAAUAAUCACCUUUAGAUUUCAGUCUCAUUUAUCAAUCUUUCAUAAAAAAAAAAAUACAUAACACCCACCAUCCCAUGAUUUUCGGCCAAGCUGAGAUUUUAUUGGCUAACAUUAAUUUCAGGAUUAUUUCUUGAUAAAAUCAUAUAGCGUCGGCCAUUCCAAUUCUAUAAACUAUUGUUGACUUUUUAAAUAUUGACUUUAGAGUUUGCGAGUCCGACUCUAAAUGAAUCAUUUUAGCGUCGGUUUGUCUCACUCUACAUGAUUUGGUUGACUUUUCAGAGUUGAAAUAUUAGCCUCGGCUCAUCGUAGAGUCGAACUUAAACUCGGCAUAAUCGACGCUAAGGUAGCCUCGGAUUGCAAAUAGCAGAAGCUAUCUAGUAACUUCGAGUUUUUAGCCUGCCCCAACUCCGACGCUAAUGCGACGCUAAGAAAACUUAGUGCUAAAAAUGAUUGAAGAAUGGACAAUGUUUUCCAUGACAAGAAAGGACUUAGUGCUAAGAAAACUUUCUUCAUGAUUGUUAAAGAAUGGACAAUGUUUUCCAUGACAAGAAAAUGAGAGUUUUAGAAUGCAAGUGAUAUUGAAUUUAACAGUUGAGAAUGUGAAAGGUGUGGUUAAAAUGAUUGUGAUCUCAAUUGAUUUUAUAGAGGCGAAAAUGUGUUUAUGAAGCAAUGUUACCUUUUAAAAAGGGUCUCAAAUGAAUAGACGUAUUUGAAAUGAAACCUAUUCAUAAAAUUUAAAUUUUUGAAGGUGGUACCCGGUUACCAUGGGAGGCGCAAUAGUUACACCUUCCGACGGUAAUAUUUUUCAAAAAUUCAACUCCGAUAACCGGUAUCAUAUCAAGGUGAAACCAGUUACACAUGCCCAAAAAUGAUUUUUCACGCGUUUUGGAUGCAUUGCUUCAUAUGGACUUAUGACUUUAAGUUAUAAAAAUAUGUGGAAAUGUUUUUUUGAGCAUUCUAAGUUGUACUAAAGGUUAAGAAUGUAAAUCAUAAGAUAAGUGCCAUACUUAUAAAAUAUAGGUUUAAUUACCUUUUUGGUCCUCUAACUAUUUAAUUGGUAUCGGAUUGGUCCUCUAACUAAAAAUUGAUUUAUUUCGGUUCUCUAAGUUUCCCACCGUUAUUACAUUUAGUCAUUUCUGUUGGUUUUAUUCAAAUAAACGUUAGGAUUUGUGUUAUGUGAGUCCUCUAACUUUAUUUAUUAGUAUCAUUUUGGUCAUAUGCCUUGUUAAGGUAUUAUGAUUAAAUAGUGACUGAUAUUAUUGGUAACUGUUAUGGUUCAUAUGUAUGUGUGAAACAUGAGGUCAAGUACCCACAUAACACAAACCCUAACGUUUAUUUGAAUAAAACUAAUAGAAAGGACUAAAUGUAGUAACAGUGAGAAACUUAAAGGACCAAAAUAAAUCAAUCUUUAGUUGGAGGAUCAAUCUGAUACCAAUUAACUAGUUAGAGGACCAAAGAGGUAAUUAAGCCUUUUUCUAUUGCAAGAUCCAAUGAAAUAACAAAAGUGAGGAAUUUUAAAUGAUAAAGGUUGAAUUUUUUUCUUCUUCUUACGAAAGCGAAUGACAUUCAAAAACUAAAAUUUAAGAUAAAAAAUUAAACAAAUGACACUCAAAAUCUAACGAAACAACCCAUCACAUUAGACAAAGAUCCUACAUUGAAUUAUAUUAUCACAUUAGACUAAGAACAAUCACAGAAGUGAGAUUCACAUCACAUCUUCGUUCAAAGUCUGAAAGCAUUAUGUAUAUGAGUCAUCUCACUUAAAUGUUUCUCAUAUCUACUAUUGCAUACAAUAUAAAAUUUUAACUCACACUUGACACAUUAACAUCUCUCCAUUAAGUGUCAGGAUCUUUGUGUUUGUAGUCCACCACCCAAAACAACCCUCGCUCCCUCACAAUGUCUAACCGAGAUGUAAUACCACCGCUGGACUUUCUGUGGAAUCUUAAACUGAUGUAGAUCGACAAUUUCGGGAAAGAGGAAACCACACACGUGAUAAUAAUACCACCACAACUUCAUCCAAAAUUUUAAAACUUAAAGUAUAUGAUUUUUGUUAGUAUAUAUAAUAUAUGCGACGACAUUCUAGCCCGUGCUUAGCCCGGGUUUCCAUGCUAGUAAUAACAUAAGAGCACGCUUUUAAUUAAUCUUGUUAUUGUCUCUCUCUCGUCCCCGACGUCAUCUUGCCGGAAAAUCUUGCCGCCGACGAAACAAAACUACGGUUAACAAAAACAUGAUAAGAGAAUUAAGAAGCUCUUUGAAAGUUUGAAUCGGAGAAAAACAAUGAUUUUGAAGGUUUGAGUCAAAGAAAAACAACCAUUGACUGUAAAUUACGGCCUUUGAAGGAGUUGAAUUUGCAAGAAAUUGAGAAUGGUAGAAUUUUGAUCUGAUUGGAUCCAAGAGUGUGAGGCGGUUACUUCUCCGGAGUUAGAUAACAUGGAAUGUUGACGAGAAAAAAUUGUAAGCAAAUUUGAUGUUAUUUUGAAGAAAGCUUAAUGAAUUGAGUGGAGAAAGAAAGAAGAAAACGAGAGUCAAUGAAGCAAGCUUACUGAAUACAUCCAGGUGAUCAGAAUAGGACAUGAUUUUGUGGAUUAUUUAGGCGAUGCCAUUAGUAUUGAAGGGAGAGAAAUGGAAAAUUUCUUUGUAAUUGUGAAUCGUAGAGAGAGAGAGAAAAUUAAUUUACAAUAAAAAGUGUCAUUAAAAAGAAUUAGAGAAAAAAAAAAAAUAGGGCAUUUAUUAGUUCUUAAGAUGUGCAAUGUUGCACAUGUUAGAAAAUCCCUAAUUAUAUUUAACAACAUAAAUAACUUCAUCUAUUAGUAAUAAUAAUUCUUCAUGUAAUAAUUCUUAAUAACUCAACCAACUUCUAAUUAUCAUUAACUUCAUAUUCAUCACAUUAUAAACAUCAUCAUAUAGCACAUAAUAACCAAAUCAUAACCAACAUAGAUCAUCACAUCAUAAAUAUCAUCUUUAACACACAACAUAAUCAUCAUCUCAUAAAAACUUAGACCACACAACAUAAUCAUCACUUAAUAAUAAUAAUUAUAUACAACACAACAUAAUCAUCACUUAAUAAUCAUAUACAACAUAACAUAAUCAUCACUCAAUAAUAAUAAUCAUAUACAAUACAACAUAAUCAUCAUCUUAUAAUGAUAUAAACAACACAUAUUCUGUUGAGGCAAAAUCCCUAAUUAAUUUUAAAGAUAAUAAACUUUAAUGAUUAAGGAUUAAAUGGACUUUGAUUAAAUCAUUGGUAUUUAACUUGUGCUCUUGAGUGUUUUCACUAAGACAUGAACAAGGUUUGAAUCAUACCAAGAUGCAUAAAAUCAAAGGACAUUUGAUCAAUGAACUAAUUCUGAAGUUCAGAAAGUUAGUUCAGAAUGUUGAUCAGAGAGUUGAUCAGAACAUUCUGUUGAGAGUUCAGAAGGUCGUUCAGAAGCAACCAUGUUCAGAAGCAACCCAGUUCAGAAGGUUGUUCAGAAGCAACCCAGAUUCAUCAAGAACGUGAAGAACAUGCAAGACAUGAAUAAAAGGUCCAGAAAAGUACAUCUGCAUGGAUCUAUCAACAAAUAAAGGCAUGGACAAGGAACUAUGUCAAAAGGAUCUUUAAUGUUCAUCCAAGACUAUGAACAUUAAAGUACUAGGAAUAUUCCAAAGAGAAUAUUGUCCUAGAUGAUGCAUUCACUGCACUUCAGCUGUAUCUUACUAUUAGGUUUGAUUACAUUAAAAGUUAAGUCUUACAAAUCAACCUAAAGUAAGAACAAAUGGAACAUUCUGAAAUCAGAAUGUUCACUUCUGCACAUGCUUCCAGCCAUGAACAGUGUAGUUGGUGAAAAGAUGGAAAAGCUAGCAAAGGAGAUCUUGCAUCAGAGAUAACGUGUACUCUGAUAUGAAUCAAGCAAAUCUCUUUGAAGCAUGGGCCUGAAGAUUGCAGAUCCACUAUCCUCUCUCUCCUGCACCAAAUCCAAGACAGAUUUGUUUCAACUUUAUCCUACUUUUUCAAGCAACUUUUGAUGCAUAUGGAGAAGUAACUUUUGAGGGAUAAAACAUGAACAAAUCUCAUGUCACGUAUUGGAUGAACCUAGGAACUCAUCAGACAUUCAUCCUGGAUGAACCCAGAUGAAGAACAUAAUGAAUAUCAAAGAUUCUGAUGAAGAACACAGCAACAUUCUGAUGUUCAUCCUGGGAACUCAACAACAUUCUGAUGUUAAGAAUGUUCACCCAUAUUUUCAAGUAAAAGCUUGUAGGGCCCAGGACACGUGGCAUAACACCAUUGGUCACCUUACAAAGGCUCAAAAUGAGGAAACGAGGAAACGAGGAAAAGGCAAAGACAUUGCCAUUCUUGCCUCUACUCUAAAGGCUCAAAAUGCUGAAAAGAUGGCCAACAGACCCAUCAACAGAUCUAAGUAUUUUGACUUUGAAAGUCUUAAGACAAAAGGAUGGAAUCUGAAGAAGUUCACAGAUCCUCAAGGCUGGUCAAGUUUUGUUUCCACUCAAUUUCAGACUUUUCCAGACUUGGUAAAGGAAUUUUAUGCCAACAUGAUUGUAAAGGAACACAAUGAAGAAAAGUUCCUUGAGUCCACAGUCAAAGGAGUGAAAAUCCAAGUUUCUCAGAACCUUCUUUCAGAUAUUCUGAAUAUCCCAAAUGAAGGUAAUGAACUGUACAACUCUUGGUUUUCUAGUGUAGGAAUCACACGUGAACAACUCCUUGAAGAGUAUAUCAAACCAAACCAUGAUAUUAAUUCCACAAAUCUUGAAGAUACACCCAAGAUUCUCCACAACAUGAUCAGGCAUACUCUCCUUCCUAGAUGUGGAAGCUUUGAGGUUAUACCUGAUACUGAUCUUUGCAUCAUUUAUCACCUCAUAACCAAAACAAAGCUACAUCUGUGCUUUAUCAUGCUCCAACACAUGAUGGAUCAAUGCUACUCCUUCAAAUAGAAAGUUGUUGGGUUGCCCUAUGGGAUGCACUUGACGCCCAUAUUUGAAGCUGCUGGAAUUUCUCUGAAUAAAGAAAAAGGUCAGGAUACCUUUAUGAGAUUCACAGCCAAAACCAUUAGUCAACUUCACAUCACAACUUCAAACAUGCCUAUUCCUCAAAAGACUGGAUCAGCUAAGAGACUUGCUGAUCAGAAAGUUCAGGAAGUAAGGAAGAAGCAGAAAGCUGACAAGCCUGCCAAGAAGGAAAUUGGUUCAAGUUCUCAGAAGGUUGAGAAAGGAAAGGCUACUCCAGCUCUUGAAGUCUUUGCUCAUGUUGUUGAACAUGCAAGAGAGCUAAUUGAAGAAAGCCAAGAACAGUUUGAAGCUAUGCUGGGUAAGAAAGCUGCUGAGAAGGUUGGAGAAUCUGAUGCUGACCAUCAAAAUGUUGAAGACUCUUUGAAUCAAGGUGUUGAAGCACUCUCUGAAGAUAUUAGAGUUGAAGAAAAUACUGAGCUUCAAGCUUAGAAUGUUGAUAAUGAUACUAGGGAAGUUGCAGAAAUUCUAGUAUCUGACUCUUUUGGAAGCAAAAAUCAACCAAUGGAUGUUGAAGAAGAAGCUGUGUUGGAACAAGAAAAUGUUGAAGCUCAUCCUGAUUUUGAUCUCAACAUUGAAGACACUACAAAUGAUCUCUAUGAUGAGCUCUUUCAAGAUGCUCAGGGAGAAAACAUUCAGCAAGAUGAUCAGAAUGUUCUGGAGGAUGUAGCUCAAAAUGUUCCUACUGCACCUGUUGAGCAGCUGUCAGCAGAUCCUAAUCCUUUCGGUUUAGGAUCUUUGCCUUCUGAGAAAGUUCAGCUUCUUGCUCAAACUGGUCAGAAUGUUCAGAGAGAUCAGAAUGUUCCAUCUGCUCAGAACAUGGAACAGGCUCAGUUUGUGAACUUGUCAACAUCAACAAUGGGGUCUACUGCUGGAAUAAGCAAGUAUCUGGUGUCUUCCCUACCAACACCAAGUACCAUUCCUUCAUUCACACCACCUCCACCACAAACCAAAACAACUCAAAAUCUCCCAAACAUGUCUUCCUUGUUUGACUCUUUAAACACUUUUGUCACAGCAAACAAAGGAAAAGUUGAUGUUUCUGGUGAUGUUGCACCUGCCAAACCUUCUAAGGCUAAGAAAAUUGCUGCAAGGGCUCUCAGAGUUGCCACUAAAACUCACAAAAUUGUGUGUGCACUAAAACUCACAAAAUUUUGAAUCUGAACCAUCCUCAGAUUCUGGGGAUUCUACUCCCUGAAUCAUUUCUGGUCCUACUCCCUAACCUUUUUGCAGAUGACUAAAGGGGGAGAAGCUUUAGGAUUUUAUAUCUUUAAGUUCUCUAAGUUUAGGCACUAAGUAGGCUAGUGAUCAAUAGUUAUUGAAGUCUUAUAAAACUUCAUUUUUGCUUGAUCAAACUUAGUUUAUAUGCUUUUUUGUUUUUGAUCCAUGUUCAUCAUACAAAUUGUAUUUCAUGAAUGAUAUUAAUGAAUAAAUAUUGAUGUUGGUUCAAAUUUUCAUAUUCUUAUUUAUACUAUGGAUUAUAAAAAUGAGGGAGAGCUUUUUAAAACUUCUAAAAACUCAUAAUGGAUUAUAAAAACAAGGGGGAGCAUUAAAAUAAAAUUUUCAAGCUCUAAAAUUCUUCAUUUAUAAUCAAAAUCCAUAAUCCUAAAUCAUAAGUUUAUCAUCUUCAAAAAGGGGGAGAUUGUUGAGGCAAAAUCCCUAAUUAAUUUUAAAGAUAAUAAACUUUAAUGAUUAAGGAUUAAAUGGACUUUGAUUAAAUCCUUGGUAUUUAACUUGUGCUCUUGAGUGUUUUCACUAAGACAGGAACAAGGUUUGAAUCAUACCAAGAUGCAUAAAAUCAAAAGACAUUUGAUCAAUGAACUAAUUCUGAAGUUUAGAAAGUUAGUUCAGAAUGUUGAUCAGAGAGUUGAUCAGAACGUUCUGAUGAGAGUUCAGAAGGUCGUUCAGAAGCAACCUCGUUCAGAAGCAACCCAGUUCAGAAGUGUCGCGCCAUUUUUCGGACGUCAAGGCCAUUUGAUUGACUUUGACUCACUUUUUUACUCACGACUGGAAAAAAAAAAAAUUUAAGGGGAAAAAGUUCCAAACAACCCAUUUUGAAGAGAUUUAGGGUUCGGGGGUUGGUUAUAUUUAGGGAAGGUGUUAGCACCCUAAAUAUUCGUAGUAGUCUACGAGAACCUCUUGAUUUUAUUUAACUUCUUGUGCUAUAACUUGCUUGCUUUUGAAAAGAUGAAAAUGGAAUUGAAUGAUGAGUUGAAAAGGAAAAGAAAAUUGACUUUAAUUGAAGAGAAAAAAAGAAAAUGUUUUUUAAUUGAUUUGGAAGGACAAGGUCCUCUGCCUACGUACCCGUGAGGGAUCAAAACCUCGUAGUUCGGGGUAGAAAUUGACGUUUGAUUGGUUGAGUGUUUUUUUAUUAGAUUUUAAAAAAAGGUUUUGAAAUAAAAAGGCAAGUGGCAAAUGAGAAUUGAUUUGUGUUUUUUAGAUUGAAGAAAACUGACUUAAAGUUGAAUUAGAAUUGAUUUGAAAUUUGAUUAAGUAAAAUAAAAUAAAAAGACGGUCACUUGAUUUAAGAUCAAGGUUUAUUGUGAAAAGUUCUUUUUGUGAAUUUUGGAUAUUUGAAGGUUUUUGUUGUUUUUGAAUAAUAACUGAAAAUUAAACUAAUAGAGCAAUACAAAAUAAAAAGUGUGUGGGUGCGAAGAAAAGAUGGUUAGUUCGACAAUAUAAAUAGUAUUUAAUAUAGGUAGGACCAGAAUAUUCUGGAGAAUGAUUAAAUUAAACAAAAAUAUAAUAUUAACAGUUGAUAUAGGACCAGAGCACUCUGGAUUAAUUUAAUUAACACUGACCAGAUUAUUCUGGAGAAUAACAAAAUAUAAUAUUGACAGUUAAUUGAGGACCAGAGCACUCUGGAUUAAUUUAAUUAACAGGGACCAGAUCGUUCUGGAGAAUAACAAAAUAUAAUAUUAACAGUUAAUAUGGGACCAGAGCACUCUGGAUUAAUUUAAUUAACAAGGACCAGAUCAUUCUGGACAAUAAUUAAAUUAAAAGAAAUAACAUUAACAGUUAAUAUAGGACCAGAGCACUCUGGAUUAAUAGAGAGAAAAUUAAAAUGCAUGAAAAAGAAAUAAAAAAAAAAUGAGAUGCUGGGGGGGUAAGCAAGAAAUAAAAGGGGGUGCAGGAAUUAGAAGAAAGACAGAUUGGGGUUGGAUGAGAUCAGGCGCGUGUGGGCCUCGUGGGCCGGUUUAGGACGGUUCAGACCGGUUCAGAGACUGAACCGGUUCGGCCUGAUAUUAUAAAUAGGGAUGGUGCCGGUUUAAUUUCAUUUUUUACAUCCCCUUCCUCUCUCUACCUCAUUUUAGAGAGAGAAGCUCUCUUCUCUCUCCUUCCCUUCUUCAUCUUCUUCGGCGAGAAGAGUGGCGGCCGGAAGUAUCUCCGGUGCGGUGCCCAGCGAGCCAUCGCGGCGCCGCCGCCGCACCGGAGUUAAAAUCUACUCCUUUUUAAAUUUUUUUUGUUCUUUCUCUCCUACUCCCUCUCCUCUAUACGUUUUUUAGCCUUAAAAAUUCGAAAUGAAGUCUAUAACAACCUAGAUCUGAAACGUUUGAAAAGAACUACCUUUUCUUGUGUUUUUUUAUCGGAUCUGUUUGUUUUUGUACGACUUGUUGGUUUGGGUAUGUUGAAAAAAAAGGUUUGAUUCGGUUAUGAUCUGGAUUUGUGUUGGUUUGGGUUGCUUUGAGUAUGAGGAUUUUGAGUUGUGGUUUUGAUGUUGAAACUGGUUUCUGGUUUAUUGCUGUUUUUGUCGUUGGGCCCCCUUUUGUCUGUGUGCAGGUGGUUAUAUUUAUAGGACUGAAUUUCUGUUGCUUGGAGAGGAACAUGACAGCUUGUUUCUUAGCUGUGAAUGAGCUGUUUGUGACCUGUGUGUUCCGAUAUUAUCGGACAAAAUUUUGACAUUAAAAAUAAAAUAAAAGGACUAAAAAUAAAUAAGAUAAAAUAAAGGUUAAAAAAUGAAUUUAAAGUUUAGUAAAAGAUGGAAACUAAAUAAAAAUGAGAAUUGAGAAUAUGAGGUAUUUUAAAAUACCUCCCGCCGAAAAUUCUUGGCUUUACACUACGAACUAGAAUGGGUAAAAAAAUAGAAAAAAGUGGUCAAAAUUUGGGGUAUGACAAGAAGGUUGUUCAGAAGCAACCCAGUUCAAAAGGUUCUUCAGAAGCAACCCAUAUUCAUCAAGAACGUGAAGAACAUGCAAGACAUGAAUAAAAGGUCCAGAAAAUUACAUAUACAUGGAUCUAUCAACAAAUAAAGGCAUGGACAAGGAACUAUGUCAAAAGGAUCUUUAAUGUUUAUCCAAGACUAUGAACAUUAAAGUACUAGGAAUAUUCCAAAGAGAAUAUUGUCCUAGAUGAUGCAUUCACUGCACUUCAGCUAUAUCUUAAUAUUAGGUUUGAUUACAUUAAAAGUUAAGUCUUACAAAUCAACCUAACGUAAGAACAAAUGGAACAUUCUGAGAUCAGAAUGUUCACUUCUGCACAUGCUUCCAGCCAUGAAUCAAACAAAUCUCAUGCACCAAAUCCAAGACAAAUUUGUUUCAACUUUAUCCUACUUUUUCAAGCAACUUUUGAUGCAUAUGGAGAAGUAACUUUUGAGGGAUAAAACUUGAACAAAUCUCAUGUUACGUAUUGGAUGAACCCAGGAACUCAUCAGACAUUCAUCCUGGAUGAACCUAGAUGAAGAACAUCAUGAAUAUCAAACAUUCUGAUGAAGAACACAACAACAUUCUAAUGUUCAUCCUGGGAACUCAACAACAUUCUGAUGUUUAGAAUGUUUACCCAGAUUUUCAAUUAAAUGCUUGUGGGGCCCAGGACACGUGGCAUAACACCAUUGGUCAUCUUACAACGGCUAUAUGAGCCCAAAGACUCUAUAAAUAGAGAUCAAAGGCUCAACAUUACUUGCACCAUUGCAAAGCAUACAAGAAAACAACAAAGAUUGUUUGAAGCUCUUGCAAAACUGAAAUUGAUCAAUCUCUAAGGCUUUCGUUUACUUAGUGAAAAUCAAUACUCUUUGUUAUCUGAAAGAUAACAUCUUCCUGCUCCUUUGUUUGAUUCACAAACAUUCAACCUCCAUACAAAUUGUAACAAAGUCUCAUCUAGCUUUAGGGGUACUAAAGUGUUAGUUUGAGCAAAGGUUGUAAAAGUCUAAGUGGUUAACUUAGCAACAAGGUGCAAGCCUGCUGAGGCUUAGAGAAUACAGAAUUGUAAUUGUUCAGGUGAACAAAGAUUGUAAGGUGCAGGAUUUGAGAGGUUAUCUCAAACAUCAUAGUGGAAACUCUCACAAGAUUGUGAGGAGUGGACUAACCCACAUUGGGGGAACCACUAUAAAUUCUCUGUGUGUUUAUUCUCUCUUCCCUAUACUCUUUACUUACUGCAUACACAACACACACAAACACAUUUACUUUAUUAAACUGUUUUUGCACUCAGACAUCUGAACGUUCUGAAGUCUGUUUUUAACUUAACCAUUCCAAGUUUCAACUUGAGAAUCAAUUUUAAGUUACAGGUUUAAUUUUUAAAGGGUCACAAUUCAAAGCCCCCCUUCCUUGUGACUAUUUUAUCUACUUCAUAUUCAUCAUCUUAAAAUAAUAUAACAACAACAUAUUCAUCAUCUCAUCGUAAUAUAAGAACACAUAUUCAUCAUCUUAUAAUAAUAUAACAACAACAUAUUCAUCAUCUCAUCAUAAUAUAACAACAACAUAUUCAUUAAUAGUCCAUGGUUUGUCAUUAUCAACAACUUCAACGAUUCGUCAACGACAAUGUAAACUUGACAAUAAUAUAACAACAACAUAUUCAUCAUAUCAUCGUAAUAUAACAACACAUAUUCAUCAUCUUAUAAUAAUAUAACAACACAUAUUCAUCAUCUUAUAAUAAUAUAACAACAUAUUCAUCAUCUCAUCAAAAUAUAACAACAACAUAUUCAUUAAUAGUCCAUGGUUUGUCAUUUUCAACAACUUCAACGAUUCGUCAUCGACAAUGUCAACCUGACAACAUAACCACCUCUUAUAAUACGACAACGUAAGAGUACACCACCUCUUAUAGAACAACAAUGUAAGAGUACACCACCUCUUAUAAACAACAACGUAAGAGUACACCACCUCUUCUGAAACAACGACAUAAUCAACAUAACAUUGUCAUAGAUGACAACUCAUCAACAACGACUUUGACACGACAAUGCAACUUCGACUUGACUAUGCAACUUUAUCUUCUUAAUCAUGCAUGUGGUACCAAUCCAGGGCAUCAAACCCCCAACGUAUUGAGCGUAAAUAGGCUCCCAAGGCAUCAAGCCCUCAACUUAUUUGAGCAUUAAUAUACUCCCAGAGCAUCAAGCCCUCAACUUAAUUGAGCAAAGGCUCCAGGGCAUCAAGCCCCCAACGUGUUGAGCAAAGGAUCCAGGGCAUCAAGCCCUCAACUUAAAAUGAGUAUCCAUGGAUUCAACAACUUACAACUUGGACAACAUCGACAACUUAAGACUCUAAUACUUUGGAACGACAACUCACAACUUAGACAACAUCAACAACUUAUAUGACUCCAAUACUUUGGAACGAUAACUUACAACUUUACAAUUUAGACCAACACCUGAAACUUGAUCAAUAUUCAACAGCAACAGAAACAGCACAAGCAAUUCACAACAUGUCAAUAUCAAUGCAUAUACAAAUAAUAAGCAACAUCUGAAGUAGAUAAAACAGUCACAAGGAAGGGGGGUUUGAAUUGUGACCUUUUAAAAAUUAAACCUGUAACUUAAAAUUGAUUCUCAAGUUGAAACUUGGAAUGGUUAAGUUAAAAAUAGACUUCAGAACGUUCUGAUGUCUGAGUGCAAAAACAGUUUAAUAAAGUAAAUGUGUUUGUGUGUAUUGUGUAUGCAGUAAGUAAGGAGUAUAGGGAAGAAAGAAUCAACACACAGAGAAUUUAUAGUGGUUCCCCCAAUGUGGGUUAGUCCACUCCUCACAAUCUUGUGAGAGUUCCCACUAUGAUGCUUGAGAUAACCUCUCAAAUCCUGCACCUUACAAUCUUUGUUCACCUAAACAAUUACAAUUCUGUAUUCUCUAUGCCUCAGCAGGCUUGCACCUUGUUGCUAAGUUAACCACUUAGACUUUUACAAACUCAGCUCAAACUAACACUUUAGUACCCCUAAAACUAGAUGAGAUUUGUUUUUCUUCUUGCUAAGUUGCCCACUUAGACUUUAGCUCCUUCUGCUCAAACUAACACUUUAGUACCCCUAAAGCUAGAUGAGACUUUAUUUUCUUCUUGCUAAGUUACCCACUUAGACUUUUGCACCUUUAGCUCAAACUAACACUUUAGUACCCCUAAAGGUAGAUGAGACUUUACAAGAUGUUUGAAGCUUGAAUGAUUGAAAUCAAACAAGAGAAGAAAGGAAGGAAGUGUUAUCUUUAAAGAGAUAACAAAGAGUAUUGAUGUGCACUAAGGAAACAAGAGCCUUAGAGAUUGAUCAAUUUCAAUUUGCAAGAGCUUCAAACAAUCUUUGUUGUUUUCUUGUAUGCUUUGCAAUUUGUGUGGAGUUUGAAUGUUUGAUAAACAAACAGAGGAGGAAGAAGAAGUUAUCUUUAAGAUAACAGAGAGUAUUGAUUUGCACUAAGUAAACAAAAGCCUUAGAGAUUGAUCAAUUUCAGCUUUGCAAGAGCUUCAAACAAUCUUUGUUGUUUUCUUGUAUGCUUUGCAAUGGUGCAAGUAAUGCUGCGCCUUUGAUCUCUAUUUAUAUAGUCUUUGGACUCAUAUAGCCGUUGUAAGGUGACCAAUGGUGUUAUGCCACGUGUCCUGGGCCCCACAAGCUUUUACUUGAAAAUCUGGGUGAACAUUCUGAACAUCAGAAUGUUGUUAAGUUCCCAAGAUGAACAUCAGAAUGUUGUUGUGUUCUUCAUCAGAAUGUUUGAUAUUCAUGAUGUUAUUCAUCUAGGUUCAUCAAGGAUGAAUGUCUGAUGAGUUUCUGGGACCAUCCAAUACGUGACAAAAGAUUUGUUCAAGUUUUAUCCCUCAAAAGUUACUUCUCCAUAUGCAUCAAAAGUUGCUUGAAAAAGUAGGAUAAAGUUGAAACAAAUCUAUCUUGGAUUUGGUGCAGGAGAGAGAGGAUAGUGGAUCUGCAAUCUUCAAGCCCAUGCUUCAAGGAGAUUUGCUUGAUUCAUCUCAGAGUACACGUUAUCUCUGAUGCAAGAUCUCCUUUUGCUAGCUUUUCCAUUUUUCCACCAACUACACUGUUCAUGGCUGGAAGCAUGUGCAGAAGUGAACAUUCUGAUCUUAGAAUGUUCCAUUUGUUCUUACUUUAGGUUGAUUUGUAAGACUUAACUUUUAAUGUAAUCAAACCUAAUAUUAAGAUAUAGCUGAAGUGCAGUGAAUGCAUCAUCUAGGACAAUAUUCUCUUUGGAAUAUUCCUAGUACUUUAAUGUUCAUAGUCUUGGAUGAACAUUAAAGAUCUUUUUGACAUAGUUUCUUGUCCAUGCCUUUAUUUGUUGAUAGAUUAAUGCAUAUGUACUUUUCUGGACCUUUUAUUCAUGUCAAGUGUACUUGCAUGCUCUUCAUGUUCUUGAUGAAUCUGGGUUGCUUAUGAACAACCUUCUGAACUAUCAUCAGAACGUUCUGAUCAACAUUCUGAACUAACUUUCUGAACAUCAGAAUUAGUUCAUGGAUUCAAUGUCCUUUCUGAGCCUUAGCUCUGGUGAUGGGUCUGUUGGCCAUCUUUUCCGCACUUUGAACCUUUAGAGUAGAGGCAAGAAUGGCAACGUCUUUGCCUUUCCCUCUUUUUCUAGGAACGAAUUCCUCUUCCUCUGUUUCUGCUUCUUGUUCAUCUUCAGAUGAGGUUUUCUCUUCAGACAAAGGCAGUGUUUCCUUUGCAAUCUGCUUCCUUCUUUGAUAAACUAUCUUUGCAGCUUUAGCCAUCUGAAGGAGAGUUUCUUUAGUCUUCUCAGAGCUUGCUUCUUCUUCUGCAACUCCUUUACCUUUUCCUGAGACUUCUUCCUCACUUUUCUCAGAUUUCUCUUCAUCAGAGACUCCAUUCUUCUCUUCAUUAUCAGAUACUAAAUCAACAUGGGUGGUGUUUGGCUUAGACGAUGAUCCCUUUCUCAUCCUUUGGGAUCUUCUGAUUGGCUUUUUAGAAGUUUUAGGUUGGGAUGAUUUUCAAGUGUCAUGUGCAGGAAUAAUGACAUCUUGCAAAAUGGUGUGAAGAGGGGUCUCGUUUAGAGGAGAAUGAUCAGAGGAUUGAUCAUUAGCAGCGUUUGGUGGUGAUUGGGAACGAACACGAGAAGAUGUUUUGGUUCGAGCCAUUGUUCGUGAAAAACAGAGUAUGAGAGAAUUGGUUUAUGUUUGGUUUUGAUUUAGAGAAAAAGGUGGUUUGGGAAAGAUGAAGUGUGAUAAAAAAAUCUGAACAAGUGAUAGACUUUUUUAUAGAGCCAAACGUACAGUUGGAGGAAUGAAGAAAAGGUGUUGGCAGUUUUAUUGGGAAAGAUGAAAAACUGAAAAGUUGUGGGAGAGAGAAAGAACUAGCCGUUUGACAAGAUGGAAGGAGAGUGGUUGAAAUGAUUUUUAAGCUUUGUCUAAUGGAUAUAGCUUAAACAUAACAAACCUUAAUCAAACAUUUAAUGCUUGAGAUUUUGAAGAGAUUUAUGGAUAAUCAACACACUAAAUCCUGCGUGUGUGAUUUUUUGACCCAGAAUCCAAAGGUUAAACAUUCUGAUCUUUUAAGAACAUACUUAACCAUAUCAAUGUUUGAACAUUAUGAUCUUAUGAAUAGACUGACCAGAUAGUUUUUUCAAAAGAUUUUGACUUCAUGAACAUUCUGAAGUACAAUCUGAUGAACAUUCUGAAGAACAUUCUGAAGAACAUUCUGAUGGAAUGAACAUUCUGAUUUAUGUGAAUAUAUCUGAUUUGGAUCAUACAACAUCAGGGGGUUUAGUCUAAGGCCCUUAGUGAUCGGUGAUCAAUCUUUAUUGGGAUUUUUUAUGAUUUGCAAUUUUUCUUUAAGAAAAUUGAAUCUAUCCUCAACAAGGGGUUUUGUGAAAAUGUCAGCUAGUUGAUUUUCAAUAUCAACAAAGCUUAAUGCAAUAUUCUUUUUAUGAACAUGGUCUCUAAUGAAAUGAUGUUUUAUUUCAAUAUGCUUAGACCUAGAAUGAUGAAUAGGAUUCUUAGAAAGAUUAAUUGCACUUGUAUUGUCACAAUAAAUAGGAACACUUGUGUACCUUAGAGAAUAGUCUUCCAGCUGAUUUCUUACCCACAAAAUUUGAGAGCAACAACUAGCUGCAGAUACAUAGUCAGCUUCAGUUGUGGAGAGUGCAAUGGUGUUUUGCUUUCUGCAAGACCAUCCAAUCAAUGCUUGUCCCAAGAAUUGACAGGAGCCACUUGUACUCUUCCACUCAACUUUGUCUCCAGCAUAAUCAGCAUCACAAUAUGCUACAAGAUCAAAACUAUAACCUUUUCUAUACCAAAGGCCAAGAUCAUUAGUACCUACUAGAUAUCUAAGAAUCCUUUUAACUGCAGUUAAAUAUGAUUCUUUUGCACAUGUUUGAAAUCUAGCACAUAUUGACAUGCCAUUGAUGUUUACAACUCUAUCUUUGUCUUCAAUUUUUGAAAUUAAAGGAAGAUAAUUAUUCAAAAAUGCUUAAAACAAACUUUUAUGCUCAAAGCAGGGCCAAUAUAAGUGUAAGAACAAAAUAUGCAGACCUUAGAACAAUUUUUGAAGAUUAUAACAAGAUCACAUACAACAUCAUAAUGAGGAUCAAGUAUAUAAAAAAAUCUUCUAAGGAUAAAUUCAAACAUAAGAUUUGUUAUCACAAUUUUCGGGUGUCAAGUCAUUAAUUAGGCUUGAACCUUUCAAUCUUUGAUAAUCUCUAUUUUUUCUUGGGAAGGGCAAAAUUGAGAAAACCCUUAGAGUUUCUAAGUUCGGGGGUCGUUUUCGCUACGGGAAGGUGUUAGGCACCUGGAACGAUUAUGAUAUUCCAUAAGAACCGUUCUCCUAAGUUUAUUUCUACGCUUUACUUUUAUUGCCUAUUUUUUGAAAAAAGUUUUAUUUGAGUGAAGAAUGGGGGAGAGAAGAUGAUUGAGAUUUUAUUUUUAUUUGGCUUGGAGGAGUUUUAACUCAUUGCCUACGUACCCUUUUAAGGGAUCAAAACCAAACGUAGUUCAUUCUCAAGAAUUGUUUUUUGUUUUUGCUGGUUGAUUUUAAGUUUGAAAAAGGAAUUUUGAAGAAUGGAGAUGAGAGGCCUCAAGGGCAUGAGAUUUAGAAAAUGUGAGGUGGAAUUAGUUAUUUUGCAAAAUAAAGUCUAAGUAUGAUUAAAAUUCAUUAAGAUUUUUACUUAAGAAAAUGAAAGAAAAAUGAGGAGUUUUGACUCCUAUUUUUUUGGAAAAAGGUUUUCAAGUGAGGUUAUUCACAUUUUUUGGGAAAAAUGAUUUUUUGUCUAAGCAUUAUAAAACCUAAGCAUACAUCUAAACAUACAUUCCCUAAUCAUGCAUCUAGAAUAUCCAUGUGGGGUGUGUGCAUGUGUCGGUGCUUGUGUCGGUGUACAUCACUUAUAGUGUCCAUAGUCCUUUACAUCGAGUCCUAGAUACAUGCUAUGGUCUUGCAAGAAUGUAAACUAAACUAAACUAACUAAAUUUAUUACAAACCAGUUGGCAUAGAAAUGAAUACAAAAAUAAAACCUAAACUAGGAGCAAUGAGGGUACAAAGAUUAGGUGCUUAUGGAAUGAAUGAGAUAUGAAGCAUAAGAGUUAGUAACACAAGUACAAAAUGAUAAUAAUAAAAAAAAAGAUACAAGCAAUAUAGAAUUGAAUAGCACAAGAGAAAGAAAAUAAUGCAAUGAAACAAAGUAGUAAAAAUACACCUAGAAUUUAGGUAUAACACUCACACAUGCAUAUGACCUAUAAUUCCCUCAUUAUAGCCAUUUUUGAAAGGUUUGAAUUUAAGCUACAAUGUGAGGAUCAUAAGAGUACACACAAGCCAAGCAUUAUAUCAUAUUCCUAGAGAUAUUUCCACACAUUAUUUCACAUGCAAAAAUAUCACAAUAUGUAAAAAUGCAUCAAGAACAUAUAUGGAAUUUAAUGAGCAAGAAUUAAAAGAACAAAGUAAAGAAAAUGAAUGCAAAAAUAAGCAAAUAAAUUCUAAUACUUAGAGGAAAAAUUAAAAUGAUAGGGAAAUAUUUUUAGAAAUUUUUUUAGAAGCAUAAAACACCAAGAAAGUGUAAAAAAAGUAUUUAAAACACAAUUAAAAAGAGGCUCAGCAGGAUUUAAUCUGGUCCGCUGGAUGAAUCCAGAGGUCCAGAUCUAACUCCCAAGAUCACAUCACAGCCACCGGAUCAAAGAUCCAAGGGUCCAAAAAAAGGCACAAAAGAUAGUGUAAAAUGCAGGAAGCACAGUGACCGUUAGAUCAAAGAUCUAACGGUUCAGACAGAAGAUAUAGCAUAUUUCACACAAAAAAUCACACAGGAUUCAAAAUCAAACACACAGCAACCAUCAGAUCUUGGAACAAUUCAGAUCUGAUGGUUCACAGAGCGAGGGAACACCACAGAAACAUGCACGCGCGCGCGUGGGAACGGAGGGAGUAUAUAAAGGAAUUUUCACACAAAAAACACAAAGUCCACAAAAAAAACUUCUCUCUUCCUUGGAUUCUAGAGAGAGAGAGUCUGACCUCUCUCUAGAAUCCGGUCAUCUUCUCCGGUGUGACAAGCUUCUCCGGCGCGGUGGCCGGCCACCUCAAGGUGGCGGCACCGCCACCGGAAAAUUUGUUUUGCUCCGAUUUAAAAAAAAAAUUACAUUUUUAAACAUCCUUUUUUCUCCUAUGCAUGAAUCUGAGCUUAGUUUUUUGAAAAAGAAUUUCAACCGGAGUAGAUCUGAGUUUGAAGUUGCGGUUUUGAAUGAAGUUUUUUCAAGUUCUUUGUGCUUUUUUCGGUUAAAAACUUCUAUAAUCCUACAGAUUUACACUUGAUUCGCCUUUUUCUUUGUUCUCGAGAAAAAAGAUGAAGUUUGAGUUUUACCUGUGGUUUUCUUGGUGAUUUCGAACCGGAUCUUCAGGAAAGCUUCGAUUUGAUGCUGUUUUUGUGGAUUUUCUGGCUUGGAUCCGAAAAUAAAUCGGUUCUUCUCUUCUUCUUCUUCACCGGUUCGAAUCUGCUUCUUUUCCUCUUCUUCUCAAAAAGACUCCGCGAUCGUGCUUGAGUUCGCCGCUUUCAGUGGUGAGUUCGCACUCGAAUUGCAGAGCAAAACGAUUCAGUGAUGAAGGUUCUUUGACGAAUCUCUGAGAAUCGGAGAAGAACGGAUGAAUCUGUUGAAUUUGAGUUCUGGAAAAAUUUUAGGGUUUUUGGUUUGUUCUUCCUCUUUUUCUGAGUUUUUUCUGUUUUGAUUCUGUUAUGGAUGAGAGAGAGAAAAAGAUUCUGUUUGAGACUGAUUGUGAUUGAUUCUGAUUUUUUUUCUGACUGAUCUCUUUCUUGAUGGAUCUGACACAUUGUGAUGGAUCUGACACAUUUACUAUUUAUAGCCUGCCAUGUGUAUCUGAGACCCAAUGGAAAAUUGACACCUGGACUGUUUUGGACUUAAGGACUAAUCUGCAAUAAAGUUAAUAUGAGGACUACUCUGCAAUUAAAAAAAAGACUAAAAAAAUGCAAUUAAAAAAAAGAGUAUUGGACAAAAAUGCAAUUUUGGGAUCUGUUUGAGUACUAAAAAUGCCAUUAAAAUAAAAUUGGACUAAAAUUGGUAAAUUGGACAAAAAUGACAGGAAAAGACCAAAAUGCCCCUAGGGACUAAAAUGACCCAACCUGACUCGGAUGCAGUUUUGAAAUGAUUUUAAAAAGAGAUUCUACAAUGAUUUGUACAGACAAGUUAGAAAGACUCAGAGACAGUUACAGGGACUAAAAUGGGUUCCACCGCAGGAAAUGACCAAAAUACCCUUUUGUAUGAUUUUUGAAAAUAAAAUGCAAGAAAAGUAAUGCAAUGAUUCAGAGAAUUUUCAAAUGACUUGUAAUGCAAGAAAGACACUUUGGAUAGUUUUAUGCAAGAAAAUCAUGAUUGAACAUACUUUGAGACAGAGACAGUAAAAUAUGCAGAUGAAAAGAGAGUAAAGAUUCAGAGUAAAACAACAGUAAUUUGACAAUUAUAAGUAGUA
This 84018-nucleotide long non-coding RNA is filed under the name Medicago truncatula (barrel medic). RNAcentral describes it as "long non-coding RNA (MTRU_LNC002384)". The stretch from base 51542 to 51604 matches the Rfam family "MIR5285 microRNA precursor family". Lineage: Eukaryota; Viridiplantae; Streptophyta; Magnoliopsida; Fabales; Fabaceae. The record is from RNAcentral.